RNAcentral lists this long non-coding RNA (63838 nucleotides) under Gossypium raimondii (Peruvian cotton). RNAcentral's name for it is "long non-coding RNA (GRAI_LNC009710)". Lineage: Eukaryota; Viridiplantae; Streptophyta; Magnoliopsida; Malvales; Malvaceae. The record is from RNAcentral.
UUUGUUUUUUUUCUUCCUUAUUUUUCAACCGUAAAAAUUUAAGAAAUGGCCAAAAAGAAAAUUUGAUAUUCCCUUAUUUUCAUAUAAUAAAAUAUUUGUGAAAGACGUAAUUGGAUGGAAUUCAUGUUUGUCAAUUGUCAAUUGCGAUUUGUCUACUUUCACCAUAGUUUCUACAGUUAGUUUUAUAUCCUUCACAUAAAAUUUUUAGUUCAAACUUUAUAAGAUAUAUUGUAUUUUUAAAAUUAGAAUUUAUGUUGGAAUUUUUAAGAAAAUAUUGUUAGAAAAGAUAAUCUUAAAUUUUGAAAUAAUUAAUUUUUAUGAAUUUGUAGAAUAAGGAGGAAUGAUACUAUUUUUUUUAAAAAAUUGAGUUUAAAUUUUGUACAUAACCAAAGUUGGAAAAUAAAUAUUUAAAGGUUAGAUAUAAGGGUUAAAUUUAAGUUAGUUAGUAUUGUAUAGGUAUACCCUUUUGAUUUUAUUGAUUUUAAAAAAUAUAUAUAUUUAAUAUAUAAAAUAUUAAUUAUAUCAAAUGAAUUAAAUUAAAUAAUUUUAACUAUAAAAAAUAAUAAUUGAUUUUAUAAAAUCUACAUAUUAAAUAACAAAUUUAUCUACAACUUAUUUUUAAAAAAUCUAUAAUAAAAUAAUCUCAUACUCAAUUUGAAAGUUUAAUAAAAAUUUACACAAAAAGUCGUGUUUCUGGAGCAGUUAAAAAUUGUCUCUUUUUUUCCUUUAGUUUGUUUGUUCUAUAAAUUUUUUAUUUAUACUUUAUUAAUUUGGUUAAUAUUUUUUUAAAAGUUGAUAAAAAAUAAAAAAAAUGAUCUAUUUUUCAAACAUUAUUCAUACAUGGACUGAUGCACAAUGUUCUAACUAAUGCAAUUAGAAUUGAACAGAAUGUGCCGGUGCAACCGGUAUGGACCGAAAUUUACACCGGUGCGGAAAAGAAAAGUGGUUGUGCAGAUUUAUUAUUGGAAUAGUGCAACUAACUGAUACAACCGAAAUCGACUACAUUGGUUAAAUCAGUAUAUGAGACUUGGCAACAACUAUCACAUUGAAAUCUGAAUUUUUUUUUCAACUUAGUCCUUAAAGUUGGUAAUUAUUUCCAUAUUGGGGUAGUAACUAGUAAAUGUUCUCAUAUUGAGACUUGACUUUUUUUUAUAGUUUUUGAACUUGACAAUUAUUCUUACAUUGGAAUCUGAACAUUAGGGACUAAUUUAGAUAAAAGAAAAUUCAAGCCGUUAUGUGAAAAUAAUUAUCAAAUUUAGAGAUAAUUUAGAUAAAAAAAAUUUAUACCUAAUGCCAAAUUUAGAGAAUUAACCCUAGAUUUAAUUUUAAAUUUAAUAUAAGUAUUCCGUCGACAUCUCACCAUUUAUAAAGUAAUACUAUCCAUCUCUGUCAGAGAAUCUUCAGAGGACAAAUUUGCAUUCACUCAAAUAGGUUGGGUUUUCCUUUUGGUUCAACACACUAAAAUAGGUUCUGCUGUAAGGUAGUUUAGUUCAUUUGCUGUUGCAGCUGGUACCGUCUAUUAUUUUUGGGUAAAUUCACUAAUUGGUCACCUGAUUUUUAGGGGAUUUCAUUUUGAUAACUAAAAUAAAGCAUUUUCUAAGGACGGUGACAAUAUUACAAGAAUUUAAUUUUAGAUGAUCAAAAUAAAAAGAAGGUGAUUAAUCGAGUAGUUUAUCCUUUAUUAAUAAAUAAUAAAGGUUUGAAUUUAAAAAUAUUAAAAUUUAUUAAAAUAAGCAUUUUCUAUUAUUAUCUUGAAUGUAGUUUAUCUAUACACAUAUGCAGCAUGUAUAAUAAUAAUUAAAAUUUUGAAAAAAAAAACAUAAAAGGUUGAAAUUUGUCUAAGUUUAUUGAAAAAAAAAACCAAAACAAGCCAAUUUUGAGUUCUACAGAAGUAUAAUUUUCCUUAAAUACCAUGGCUUUAGUAUCAUUAAUUUGCACUAUUUGUUUGUAUCCACGAAGUUCUAAAAAUCUUAGCGAAGUUAUAAUUUUUUAUUUAAUAAUUACAAAGUUUAAAAAUUUCUUGACUAUGUGUUUAGGAUAUUAUUCUUUAUGAUUUUGGGGUGGGAAGAAGAAAUUAAGGAAGCGUCUCUACUUUUUGCUCUCUAUCCCAUAAUUUAAUUUCUAAUCUUGUUUGCAUUAUCCACUUUUAAAUAGUUUAAUUAAAAUCAAAUGGAAUUGAAGAAAAGCUUGUAUAUGCAUGAAUGUAUAUAAUUACUUUUAUCUCUUUACAAAAUUUCUAGAAUGAUAAUUAAUUUUUUUUAAGAAUGAUAUUAAUAUAAAAACAAUAAAUGUAUAAUAAUAUAAGAAUAUGUGAAAAAACUUAAAUGUUCUUUUUUAUGGAAUAUAAACUUAUUCGUUUUGGUAUAAAAAAUGGUAAAAGUAUUAGGGAAACCCUUGUACUUAGACGCAGAUUAUAUUUCGACUUCUUUAUUGAAAAAUGAGUAAAUUAGUCUUCAUAUAUUUAGAAUGCAAAUUAGCCUUUGUUUCUUGUUAUGUUAAAUGACGACGUGGAACGUUAAUUUAAAUGGUUAAUUACUAAGUUGAUCCCUAAACUAUAGCAAAAACAUCAUUUUAUUUUUAAAAAUUUUUCUUAACAAUAAUUUUAAAAAAAUUUUAAAAAAUCUUACAAAUAAAUAUAAAUUAUUAAAAAUUAUGUUACCAUUUAUAAUUAGUAACGUACAAGUAGGAACUAUAGCACCUUUGACUAUUAAUGAUUUUGGUUAUUUUAUUUUGAAAGAGCGUAUAAUUUACUCUAUCAUGAAUGGUUUACUUAAAAUUUUUAUUUAGGAUAAUUAAAAUCUUGAUUUGUUUUUUUUUUUUGGAGUAAAAGACGACCACAAGGGUCAAAUAAAAUUUUGAUUUGGUUAUUAUACAGUUUAUGUUUUGAAUUUCAUUUCGAUUCCCUUAUUAGAAAAUAAAUAAAUUAAUUUAUGUAGGUUAAAUGAUGUAGCAAAACAAUCCUACUUUGCUAUUAAAUGUUUUUUAAUAUAUAUAUAUUUGGUGGAUUCCAUUUUUAUACUUUUAAGAGUAUGGGUAUAGAGAUUUCCCAAAUGGAGAAGAUUGUGGGGUUGGUUAGUGAUGAAUGAUUAAAUAAUUUUAUUGAUGAAGUAGUCAUCCGCAUAUAGCCAUUCUUAAUUAGUUGUAAUCAUUGAUUCCUUUGUUGAUUAGCUCAUUGUAUUAAACUCUUUUGCACUCACCUACAAUUAUACUAUUAUAUAAGAAAUUCACUAUAGGAAACUGAAAAAGCAUAGGAGAAAAAGCCAAACAAAAAAAGUGAAUAAAAAGUGGCACUCUCAAAAGAAAAGCUAAAUCCACUAAAAUUAAAUUUAAAUGAGUGGAGGAAAAUGUAGAUGUCUUUUAUGGUGUUUGAUUGUUUUCAUGUUCUUUAUUUGAUACAUAAUUAUUAAUUAAAUUAGAAGGAGGCCUUGUCUUUGGCCUUGUCCUCGACUAAAACAAUGUUAUAAAUUUAUUAUUACUAAAUUUUAUUAAUAUAUUUACAUCGAAUAAAUUAUCCGUUUAAUAUGAUAUAUGAAAUAAAUUAUCCGUUUAAUAUGAUAUAUGAAUGGUGAUAAUUUAUUUACAUUAAAAUUCAGAUUACAUUUUAUUUUCUCUACUCUUAAUCUUUAUAUAUUAAAUAAAUUAAUUUACUUUUUAAAUCUAUCAUUUUUAUCCAAUUUUCUGAAUAAUGGAAAUAAUAUAUCCUAAUACAAAUUCCUCGUUAACACAUUUACCAAUUUUAAAAAUUUUGGAUUUCAGUGUAAGAUGACAAUUAUGCAUAGUUCAUUAAUUAUAUCUAUGGUUUUAACUAUAUAUAAACAAAAUGAUAAUACUAAAUCUAGAGCAAUCAGUUCAAGCCCAAUCGCCAUAUAGAUCUCUUACGCGUUAAUAGCCAUUUGCCGUGCCCAUCGAGUUCUGAAAAAAAAAAAAACCAGUGUUUUCUUUUUUGUUCUUAAUUAAUAAUAUUUUCUGUUGGUUCAAGUUUCCAAAUUCCAAUACAUUGGAUGCAGCUGAAUCUACGGCCAGUCUCCAUGAUUCAUGAUAACAAAAGGUAAUCAUGCAUGUAAAUACGUAGCACCCACCGAUUAAUCUCUUGUGCUUAAAAAAUAAACCUCUUUUUCUUCUACGACUUGAUACAACUAAUUUCCUUCAGUGCUUUUCUUACAAAGACGGACAGGGACAGAACACCGACCAUCACUUCAUGACUCAUCUUCCUUAAUUUGCUAGCUGUAGUGAUUGAUUUUGAUUUGUGAUGUGUUUUUCUCCUCUCAUACUCACAACUCACGUGCUUUGAAUCUAACAAACCAGCCAAACAAUCGCCUCUUAUCACUGACUUAUUAUCACGUCAAUCUUUUUAUCUGAUUAUUUGACAAACAAUGUACAUAAUAUUUUUUUACAGGUUUAUAUUUUGAUCUUAAGAUAAUUGAUAUACAACUUGUUUGUCUACACCCUCAAAACUCUAUAUAUCAUCGACAGCUCUGAGUCAUAUUAUAUAUAUAUAUAUGCACUUACUCAACUUGCUCCUUCAGCCCUCUGUAUACGUCGUGUAAGUCCUACUCUCAUCAGCACGCUGUAUACUUCAUUCCUCUCAAUAAUUAUUAAGACAGCUGAAGCUUUUAUUUUUAUUUUUUUUAAGUUGCAGAGGAAGGAGGGUAUGUACGAAGCAUGGUUUUGCAAGACCAAGAUGUUUCCACUUCAUUCUUUUCAGCCAGUGAGUAACAAAACACAUGCACUUGUAUAACCUCUAUGAAUACAAACAUACAUACAGUACAACAGAAAAUGAUCAAAAUUAAAAAUCGCCAUAUUACACCAUGCAUGGUGUUCAUGACUUGGAUUACUGAUAUACCAAUACCUAUAUAUAUGCAUAAUUAAUGGCUCUCUACACCUUGUUGGACCUAAUUCAUGGCUCAUAUUUUUCUAUUAUUAUUGUAUGACAGACUUGAAGUUUCUUCAGUUCCAAGUGACAUGGAUGCAGCUAAUAUCACCGUGUUUCUGGGAGGAAGUCUGCAUAAUUCUGCAACUUGGCUUCGUUGGAAUCAUAUUGCUCCCUUUAGUUCAAAAGAUUGUGAGCAAAACCAGCAGGAAUAUUGCAGCUCAAGCUUCAAAAGAUUACCCCAUCGUUGCAAAAGUCAGUCUUUCUUACAGAGCCAGCAUUGUCUGUUCUAGUUUAAUGCUAUGCAUUCAUGUCCUAAAGCUACUGAUGCUGCUAUAUAGUAUGAAUGACACUCGUUGCAACUCCAAACUUGAAGCUUAUUCUUCAGAGAUUGUGCCAGUGAUUUCAUGGGCAGUAACAAUAAUGGUAGUGUGCUUGGUUCCUAAAAGAAAGCACAUUAGAUUUCUUUGGAUUCUAAGAACAUGGUGGGCUUUCAGCUUCUUUUUUUCCAUUAUCUCCACAGUUCUUGAUACCUACUUAAAAACAGAAGAGCAUGGCUAUCUUAAAAUGAUAGAUUAUGCAAACUUUAUCAGUCUCCUUCCAUCCUUUAUCUUGCUGAUUAUAUCAAUCAGAGGGAAGACAGGUUUAAUCUUUAUUGAUUCCCAUAACAUUGCUGAGCCCCUUCUCAGUGGAAAAACUGAUAAAGAUUCGAACAAGAAAAGGGGAUCUCCAUAUGGGAAAGCAACUCUUUUUCAACUCAUUACCUUCUCUUGGCUCAACCAAUUGUUUUCUGUGGGGAUCAAGAAAACCUUAGAAGAAGAUGAUAUCCCUGAUGUUGAUGUCAAGGACUCUGCAGAAUUUUCUUCCUUUGCCUUUGACCAGAAUCUAAAACAAGUUAGAGAGAAGGAUGGUUCGACAAAUCCAUCUAUAUACAAAGCAAUAUUUCUGUUCAUCAGGAAAAAAGCAGCAAUUAAUGCAAUGUUUGCAGUGAUAAGUGCAGGAGCAUCAUAUGUUGGUCCAUAUCUGAUUGAUGACUUUGUGAACUUCCUAGCUGAGAAGAAAACCAGGGACAUAAAAAGUGGAUACGUUCUUGCACUAGCCUUUCUAGGUGCCAAGAUGGUUGAGACAAUAGCACAAAGGCAAUGGAUCUUUGGGGCCCGUCAGUUAGGCCUUCGGCUUAGAGCUUCUCUAAUAUCUUGCAUAUAUAAGAAGGGACUAGUUUUGUCCAGUCCUUCUCGGCAAAGCCACACUAGUGGAGAGAUCAUCAACUAUAUGAGUGUAGAUAUCCAAAGAUUCACAGAUUUCAUUUGGUACUUAAACAUUAUAUGGAUGUUGCCUAUACAAAUCUCAUUAGCCAUCUACAUUUUGCACACAAGUCUAGGUUUGGGGUCUUUAGCAGCAUUAGCUGCAACUUUAAUUGUCAUGUCUUGUAAUAUACCAAUAACAAGAAUCCAGAAAAGAUACCAAUCUAAGAUCAUGGAUGCAAAGGAUGACAGGAUGAAGGCUACUUCAGAAGUUCUUAGAAGCAUGAAGACCAUAAAACUUCAAGCAUGGGACAGUCAGUUCCUUCACAAGCUAGAGAGCUUGAGAAAGGUAGAGUAUAAGUGGCUAUGGAAAUCACUGAGAUUGGCAGCAACUUCAGCUUUUAUUUUCUGGGGAUCACCGACGUUUAUCUCUGUGGUGACUUUUGGGGCAUGUAUGCUAAUGGGGAUUCAGCUCACAGCUGGUAGAGUCUUGUCUGCACUGGCUACCUUCCGCAUGUUACAAGACCCUAUAUUCAAUUUACCUGAUCUACUCUCAGUUAUAGCACAGGCUAAAGUUUCAGCAGAUAGAGUUGCUUCCUAUCUCCAGGAAGAGGAAAUACAGAAGGAGGCUGUUGAGCAUGUUCCCAGAGAUCAAACAAGUUUUGAUGUUGAAGUUGACAACGGAAAAUUCAGCUGGGACCCCGAAUCAACUAAUCCGACCCUCAAUGGGGUGCAACUAAGAGUGAAGAGAGGGAUGAAGGUGGCAAUAUGUGGAGCUGUGGGAUCAGGCAAGUCUAGCUUGCUUUCAUGUAUUCUUGGAGAAAUAGAGAAGUCGUCAGGUACCGUAAAAGUUAGUGGCACAAAGGCUUAUGUUCCUCAGUCGCCAUGGAUAUUGACUGGGAAUAUUAGGGAGAACAUUUUAUUUGGGAAUCCUUAUGACAAUAACAAAUAUGACAGAACAGUGAAAGCAUGUGCUUUGACAAAGGACUUUGAGCUAUUUGCUUGUGGUGAUUUAACGGAGAUUGGAGAAAGAGGGAUCAAUAUGAGUGGAGGACAAAAGCAAAGGAUACAAAUUGCUCGUGCAGUCUACCAGGAUGCUGACAUAUAUCUACUUGACGAUCCAUUCAGUGCUGUGGAUGCUCAUACGGGCACACAGCUGUUUGAGGUAAAGAUAAGUACAUGUCCUGAGAAUAAUAGGUUUUUCUCAUGGAUCAUGGACUAUGACUACCAUUUUGAACCAUUAAGAAACUUUAAUUUAAAGACCUGUUAUUGUUUAACUACACUUUGCAGGACUGUUUGAUGGGAAUUCUCAAAGACAAGACUGUACUUUAUGUUACACACCAAGUUGAGUUUCUGCCUGCAGCCGACAUCAUUCUGGUAAGCAAGUUAAAUCAAAUUUCAGAUUCAUAGCAAAAGACAAGACUGUACUUUAUGUUGCCUGACAUCUAUCUUGAUUCUCAACAGGUGAUGCAAAAUGGAAGAAUUGCACAAGCAGGCACAUUCGAUGAACUUCUGAAACAGAACAUAGGAUUUGGAAAUUUAGUUGGUGCACAUAAGAAAGCACUUGAAUCUGUUGUGACAGUUGAAAAUUCCAGUAAAACAUGUCAAGAUCUGGGAAGUGACGGUGAAUCCGACACAGAUUUGACUUCUAAUGCCCAACAGCUACAACAAAAGCAUGGCUCGGAUCGUCUCCACCCUCAAGAGAUAACAGAAAAUGGAGGAAAGCUAGUGCAAGAUGAAGAAAGAGAGAAGGGAAGCAUAGGGAAAGAAGUUUACUGGUCUUAUAUAACAACUGUAAAGGGUGGAUUCUUGAUUCCAAUUAUACUUUUGGCACAGUCAUCAUUCCAAGUAUUACAGAUUGCAAGUAACUACUGGAUGGCAUGGGCUUCACCUCCUACAAGUGAAACAGAACCUACAUUGGGGAUGAAGUUUGUAUUACUCGUUUAUUCGCUACUUGCUGUUGGAAGUUCACUUUGUGUGUUAGUGCGAGCUAUGCUUGUGGCAGUAACAGGACUUUGGACGGCACAAACACUCUUCAUUAACAUGUUGCACAGUGUACUCCGUGCUCCAAUGGCAUUUUUUGAUUCAACCCCAGCUGGAAGAAUCUUAAAUAGGGUGAGUUGCUCAAUAGCACAGAUAAAUCUUUUUUUAUGUGAUUGCAUAGUCUUAAAGUUGUUUUAUUUUCAGGCAUCUACCGACCAAAGUGUGCUAGACUUGGAAAUGGCAUCGAGAUUAGGAUGGUGUGCUUUCUCAAUAAUACAGAUUCUCGGAACCAUUGCAGUGAUGUCACAGGUAGCAUGGGAAGUGUUCGUCAUCUUCAUUCCCGUGACUGCAAUUUGCUUAUGGUACCAAGUAAGUGAAAGUUCACAUUUAUUACUAAGUUAUAUAGAGAUGUUUAAAUAGCUAUACCAUGCCCAAUGAAAAACCAAGUAUGACUUAAUAUAAUUGUUUCAGCAAUAUUACAUACCAACAGCAAGAGAACUGGCACGCUUAGCAGGAAUACAAAGAGCUCCUAUUCUCCACCACUUUGCAGAAUCACUUGCUGGUGCAGCAGCAAUCCGAGCAUUUGAUCAAGAAAAUCGUUUCAUUCAUGCAAAUCUUGGUCUCAUUGACAACCAUUCAAGGCCCUGGUUUCAUAAUGUCUCAGCAAUGGAAUGGCUUUCUUUCAGACUAAAUCUACUGUCCAAUUUUGUAUUUGCUUUCUCAUUGGUCGUGCUGGUGUCGCUUCCUGAUGGAAUCAUUAAUCCAAGUGAGUACAAUCCAAUAUGGUAUUUUCAGAAGAGGAAAUUUUUUUUUUUUAUCAAUGACCACUGAUCGAAAAACGAAAAACUUUUCUAACAGGCAUUGCAGGACUGGCGGUUACAUAUGGAAUAAAUUUAAAUGUUCAGCAAGCUUCAGUAAUAUGGAACAUAUGCAAUGCAGAAAACAAGAUGAUCUCAGUAGAAAGAAUACUUCAGUACUCAAACUUAGCUAGUGAAUCAGCACUUGAGAUUGAAGAGUGUAGACCCCAUAAUAACUGGCCUGAAGUUGGAACUAUUUGCUUUAGAAACUUGGAGGUAAGGAAUGUUAACAACCAUCCAUAAUGUUCCAAACAUUAUAUUGUAAAGCUUGAGAUGCAUUUAGAUGCAUUUACUAACAUUUUGACUGCCAUACAGAUCCGUUAUGCUGAGCAUCUUCCAUCUGUCCUAAAAAAUAUUAGCUGCACAUUUCCAGGAAGAAAAAAAAUUGGUGUUGUGGGAAGGACAGGAAGUGGGAAAUCAACACUUAUACAGGCUAUUUUUAGGAUUGUUGAGCCUAGAGAAGGGAGCAUUAUAAUUGACAAUGUGGACAUUUGUAAGAUAGGCCUUCAUGACUUAAGAUCAAGACUUAGUAUUAUACCACAGGACCCUACAAUGUUUGAGGGAACCGUUCGAGGGAACCUUGAUCCUCUCGUGCAAUAUUCGGAUAAUGAAGUAUGGGAGGUAAUUGAAAUUCAUAAAACUUACCCUUAAACUGAAUAUAAUAGACAAAUAUGUAUAUAGUGAUUAGAGUGGCAUGCAUGUGAAAUUUUCAGGCUCUGGAUAAAUGCCAACUUGGUGAGAUAGUGCGUGCAAAGGAAGAAAAGUUGGAUGCUACAGGUGAGGUUUAUAAACUUGGGGUAUUAAUUCAUAGAGUGGUUGUAUCUCAUUUGUUAAUGAAAGGUACUGAUAUUAGAAUGUGUUGAACAGUGAUUGAAAAUGGGGAAAACUGGAGUGUAGGCCAAAGGCAAUUAUUCUGUCUUGGAAGGGCAUUGUUAAAGAAAAGCAGCAUUCUUGUACUGGAUGAAGCAACAGCAUCAGUUGAUUCUGCAACUGAUGGAGUGAUACAGAAGAUUAUUGAUCAAGAGUUCAAAGAUCGGACAGUUGUGACAAUAGCACACAGAAUUCACACUGUUAUAGACAGUGAUCUUAUUUUGGUUCUAAGUGAUGGUAAGACAAUGUAGAUGCUUACAUGCACGCACACACACACACACACACACACACUCUUUAGAAUUGUUGAAAAACAAAUUGAACCAUUUUUUGUUAACAGGAAGAGUUGCAGAGUUUGAGUCACCUGCGAAACUACUAGAACGAGAGGAUUCAUUAUUCUCUAAGCUUAUAAGGGAGUACUCCAUGCGGUCUAAGACCUUUCAACAGCUUAAAAAAUCUGCUUAAGUAGAACCUGCAGCAAGCAAAAUAAAGGAGAGAGUGGUGGAAUCUCCAGAAAGUAGUAGUAUGCUAAUAACUUGUCCAGGAUGUAGUAGCCCCAUUGAGUCAUGAAUUAUUAUUAUGCUAAAAAUCUUGAUAACCUAUGUAGCAUACCAUCUGUGAGACACUCAAAUACUAUUAUUGUUUCUAUUUCUACUAUUUGUUAAUGGAGAAAAAGAAGAUUCGUCUAAAGCCAGGAUUACAAACUUUUUCUAAAACAACGUAUUGUGAAAUAAUUUAAAUUUUAAUUAUCAAGUUAAACCUUGAUUAAAUUUAGAGUGAUAAAAAACUUAAUAACUUAUAACAUGAUUUAAUAUUAGUAUUUUUUUUUCGAUACCAAAUCACAAGAUAAAAACCAUACAUAAAAAAAUCUCAGUUCAAAACUUAUUAUUCCGAGCAUAAGUUAAAGCUUUCAUCGCCAUAGAUUUAGCUAGUUUACUCCCUUCAUGCUUCUGAUCUGAACUGUGUAUCUGCUGAAAUUGAGUCUUCGUGGCAUUAAUAUCAUGCAUUAGGAGCUUUAGCUUCCAGUGGAUUGUUACUUCUUCACUGCUUAAUAUGCGCCUUAUUGAUCUGUCUCUGCUCCAUGUAGUACAUGAAGUGAUGCUUAUAUCUAGCAGCUUCACAAAUGAUAAUCUUGCAAUGAUUAGUUUGCUUGUUAAACGGUCUUCUGAUGAGAAGUUUACUGCCUGCAACCACAAAGUUUCAUUAGUAAUUGAUUUCAGAAUAAAAGCCACCAACCAUAUUUGCCCUCUGUUUCCAUUCCAACAUAAGCUGAUGAGCAGUUUGUUGAACGCCCAGAAAAUGGUUUUUUUUUUCUUUUCAAAUUAAUUUUGAGCUUAUAAUUUUACUUAAAACUCUUUCAUUUUCGGAUCAUGAUGGUAUACCUGAAGUUUGCAACAGCUGCUUUCAACACUAUUAAUUAUUUUGCGUUUACAAAAUAAAUAAUAGCAUAUUCUACAAAAAAUAAUUACUUUUAUUUAUUUUAAAUUAUGUUUUAAUAUUUUAUUACAAGGUGAUUACUUUACGGUUAACUUGUUUGCGUGACUAAAAUGUACAAGGCAGUCCUACGAGAGUAAAAUUAAAUCUGAGGCAAAGUGACUACUUUUCCAAACGUGAGACGAAAUUCAUCCUCUCUCUCACGUUUCUUUUCCUGGUUCUUUCGUCUCUUUUGCCCUUUCCUAAUCUUUUUUCCUCUCUUCUUUUUCUAUUCUGUUUCUCCUCUCUUCUCCUUUCAUAACAAACCAUAGCCGUCGCCGCCUCCACACUGUCCGGCGUGGUACCUCCGAUCAAAGGCCAGCGGUCCUCUCCUCUAUUCGAGAGACGUCCCAUUCUCAAUUCCGAGGCUCCCGCUGUUAAAUGGUUCAAAGAAUGGUAAGUUAAACAUCUUCUUUUCAGAAUUUUCAUUGCUUUUUUCGAAUUUAUUCCUUCGGUACUUUUUGCCACUGAUUAAUUUAUUUUUAAGUAAAUUUUUUCUUUGCUUGAUUAAUCUAUGAGCCUUCUUUUUGAAGUAAAAUAUGCUUAAUUUGCCUUAGUUCUAGCAUAAAUGCAGAUUGGAUUUUUGAACGAAUAUUUUGGCAUGGUUUUGUGCUCAACUUCUCAAUACCAGGGCCUUGUGUUGCUUUGUAUUAUACAUAAUGUCAAUGACCUGACCUAAUUUCUUCUAGGGUCCCUGAAGAUGUUGUCGCAACUGGCGGAAAGUGCAUGAUUUUGAAGUGGCUGAACGGUGAGUUAUUCUCUUUUUGCUAUGUAUUUCUUUUGUCUGAUGCAAAACUGGGAAACCUAGUCUUAAUCCCAAUAUAUUUGGGGUCUUUCUUUCCUUUUAUACUCACUGUAAUUGCUAUUCAUCUUCAUUUCAUUUUCGUAGGAAAAGUAUGAAUUGCCUAAACAAAAGCUUUACCGCCUGUGUGACCUUGAGAAUGUAAACAGAGGGAUUACCGCAAACUUCUUAACAUUAUGUAUUGUGAGGGAGUUUAGAGAAAAGCAGAGUUUUUUGCUUUUUAAAUGAUCUUGAAGUACUCGUAGUUUGGGGAAUUAAACAGUCUAUUUAUUUCGUGAUGGAAAUAUGCCCUAGUUCUUUUCACAAUGCCUUUUUUUUCUGUCCUUUUUUAAGAUUCCCUUCACUGUAUUUUCAUUACAUUCUAGGUCUAAAAGAUACCAUGCCUUGUGUUUUUGGUUUUAUAAAUUCAUUUUAACUAAAGACUGGGUUGUUUUCAGGCCCCAGGGAGUUGAUGUGGAAGGAUUAGCACUUUUUUUUUUGUCAUUUUCUUCUUUAUAGAUUUGCCCGGCCUAUCCUUCCUCAUCCAACUGUUUUGUUUAGGGAACACAUUAAAUAAAUUGAAGGAGAAGGAGAAAGAGCCUGAAGCACCAAAAGCUGAACCAGGGCCUACUACUGAAGUUCAUUUUCUUUGCAGCUACGAAGGCUGUGGAAAAACCUUUAUUGAUGCUGGUGCUCUGAGAAAGCUUUUGCACAUUCAUGGAGAGAGACAACAUGUUUGUCACUGGGAGGGUUGUGGGAAUGUAUCUUGUGUAGAUCUUCCUACUUUUGAUGCAACAAGGAAAGUUUUGGAUCUUCAACAAUUACUGGCACAUAAUGAAGCAGAUCUGAUUUAUUCUUUGCUUGGGAGUUGGGACUAUGAAGUGCUUGAGUUCACCUUGAACGUGCUUCAUUUGUGGUUGUUAUUUUGUUAUUUAUUUGCAGAUAAGUAUAGUGCUUCUUGCUGGUUAUUAAUGCGAUAUACUUUUUCUUAUACUGCAGGAAAUUUUUGAACAGUUCAAAACUGAACACACUUUCUUAUUCACAGUGGAGAAAGAUUUUAUUUUCCCACAUGAAGGUUGUGGUAAGGUGAUAAACCUAUCUCAUCUUCUAAUCUGUUUCCUUGUAGUUUAUAUGUCUGUUCUUUUAUCUGUUUUGGAUAUAUCUUCUAAAGUAACAAUGUCAUAAUCAAUUUCUUCUUCAUUUGUUGUCUUAGUUGAUUUCUCAGUGCCUUCUGGUUCUGAAUAACAUUUUUUCUUUUGAUUGUUUGUUUUGGGCUACCUUAAACCGGAUAUAAAAAUUAUCUUUGACCAAUGGUUUGAUAAUUAUUACCUCAUCCAAUUGCUGUUUGAUAAUUAUUGAAGCUAACAUUCUAAUUUAAUAUAGAUCAUGAAUCCAUCGCUAUGUUGGGUGAGAUUUCAUUUAUUUUUAUUAAAAAUGCAAUGCCCUUUUCAAGGUUAGUAAAUCAAUUUUCCUUUCAUUUUGAACAAAACCCGACAUGACUGUGCUAAUCUGAUAGGGAAGAAUAGUCAUAAGCUACAUAAUGUAAAAUCCUAUGCUUUUCUGAAGUAGGAUUUACUGCUUCCAUUAUGCUUUAUGCCCUUACCUUAGACAGGGAUUUGAUAGGGAAGAGUUGUAAUAGGCUACCCAAUGUAAAUUACUCAACGUUUAAAUAAUUUGUGACUGUACAAUGGCAGAUUCUGGGAAGUAGGAUUUAACAGUUCCAUUGAAGUAGACCUACUUCGCUUUAGGGCUUUUUAAGGCUGCUCCUUAAUAGGACUGGGAGGUCUUUGCCCCUUCAUGGUGUGUUUUGAAACAACAAUCUGAUAGGAUAGGUGUUCUACUUGCCUUAUGUAUGUCCUUUACCGUUCCGCAUGUGUCCUUUCUCUGGUCUCUUGUUUGUUUGCUGAGUUCACUGGUAGUGGUAUAAUUGGUCUUGGUGCUGCUUAUGUUGUAUUUGAGCCUCUUUUUUGGUCAGUAAAGAUCUCUUUUUCCUUUUAAAAAAAGAGAUGAAAGAGGCUUGGAUGUCCUAGAAUUAUAUCUUAACAUAAUAAGGCCAUUAAAAGAGACAUUAUCAUUUUUCAUUUAUGCUUUUCUUAGCUUUACUAGUCCUGUGAAUUUUUAAGCUUUUCUAGACUUGUAGAUUGAUGUAUUUCCUUAUUAAAAUAAGAUAGAUACUUCUUAGAUUAGAUUUAAGGAAGACAAGUUUUGAUUCUUCUAUUGCCCAUUUAAGUGUCUAGUUGAAUUUGUCUUCAGCGUCACUUUUACAUUGGUGAUUCAUUUUUGUUUUGCUGAAUAUGCAAAGCAUCUCUCGUAAAUUGGUUUCUGCAUCUGUGUUGGCUUGAUUUUAGUUCUAGGAACCUGCUGGGAGUUGUGACGCAUGUAGAGUUUAUCUGGUAGUUUAUCUAGUAAAUUGUUUUCUGCAUCUCUAGUCCAUUGAUGUGUGUCUGCUGCAUCUUUCUGGAUGGUAAUCACAUGUCUUUUUAAUUCCUUUUGAGUUGUGACAUUCUGUUUCUUAGUUUUCUGAAUAAAUCUAUACUUCAGUUUUAAAAAAUAAAUAUUAAUCUAAUUGGGAUACUUGUUAAUAUUGAUAUUAAUUGAAGAAUUGGUGAGUUUCAACUGGUUUGCGUAUUGAAAAGGUUUUUGAGGUUUUGGGUUUCAUGAUCAUAUGGUGGAGAUUGGCAUGAUUCAUGUAUGCAUAUAUGUUUUUUUUUCAUACUGCUAGUUGCUUGCUUUCAUCAGUAAGGAUUGGGUAGAUUUUCUUUAAAAUAGUUUUGAAUUGAGCUCAUCGAUGAACCUAGUUGGGAUUGUUUGUGUGCUGGUGUGUAUAUCGUUUGGAAAUGGCUUUUGAUUGAAAUAUUCAGGUAAUAUCUAAAUGCAUGGCAUGGUUGGAAUUAGGGAUGUAAGUGAACCGAAGAGGUUUUCUUAUAUUACAAAGUAGUUACGAAUGGUUAUUGUGUUGCAUUAGAAGAUGUUAACUAUGUGUUGUUGUUUUCUUCCUUAUAAAGAACAUAUUUGCCUUUUUGAUCUUACAGUGAGAGUUUUCAUUAGAAGUUUCGUAUUUGAAUUAUAUUACGAUUGGUUUAUUUUUAAAAAAAUCCAACUAAUGCUCGAGUGAUGUACUCAUCUUUUGUUUUGGUAUUGUUAAUUAUGUAGCAAAAGGUCUCUCUUUUGAGGACGUUGACCGUGUUUGAAGGGGGCUUCAAUUGGUCCUUCAAUUGACUUGGCCGUUCAUAUCGACCCAAGGUAUCUCUCUACAAUCUCUUGCUUUUGUUUGGAAUAACGUUGAUGUGUACUUUUUAUUUUAUUGUUGUUUCCUGUCUGCAUGGCCGUUAAUUUUUAUUUGGCACCCUCCAUAUAAAUUUCGCUGCAUGCAUCUGUAAGUGAAAUGUGUAUGUAUAUAUUCUUUUGGUAUAUUUGCAUGCAUCUGUAAGUGAAAUGUGCAUAUAUAUAUAUUAUUUUGAUAUAUUCUUUCUUUCUAUCUGUUUGUGUGUAAUAUAUAUUUUCUUUUGAUAUAUUCUUUCUUUCUUUCUUUCUAUCUGUAUGUGUGUAUUUGUGUAAAUAUUAUUUUGAUAUAAUUCUAUCUUCCAUAUAAAUUUACCUGCAUGCAUUUGUGAAAUGCUUGUAUAUGUAUUCUUUUGAUAUAUUCUUUCUAUAUGUGUGUAUAAGUUUUUGAAGAAAUAAAAUUUAAAUAAUUAUAAUUACCCUAAUAUGCACGCAAUACAUUUUAUUUAAAACAAAUGUUAUUGAUUCAAAACAUUAUUUUUCCCCUAUAAUGGAAAUAAUGUUAUCUUAAUUAUAAAAAUCAAAUUGGACUGAAAUUUAUUGUCUAAUUCUAUCUUAGAUUUUAAGUUAAUUACAUUAUACGUAAAAUAUUCCUCAUUCAUAAUAUGAUUUCCCUCUAAUACAUAAAUUAUAAUUGUGAAAAUGUAAGGAAGUUUUUAAAAUUAACGUAUAUAUAAUAUGAUAAAUAAUAUUUUUAAUAAUUUUACUUAAAAAGUCAAAUUGGCUGUUAAAUUAAUAAAUUUUAUAGAAUUCUGUAAUUUUAAUAAUAAUAAUUUUUUGAAGAAACAGAUUUUAAAUGUUAUUGAUUCAAAAUAUGACUUUUUCCAUAUAAUGAAAAUAAUGUUGUCUAAAUUAUAAAAGAUUAAUUAGGCUGAAAUUUAUUACCUAAUUCUAUCUUAAAUUUUAAGUUGAUUACAUUAUACAUGAAGCUUUUCUCAUUCAUAAUAUGAUUUCCUUUUAAUACAUGUAACAUGAAUGUGAGCUACAACAAAUAAGAAAAAUCAAGUUACAGUAUUGUGAACUAUUUCUUGUGGAUACAUGAGUGUGAAGCCUUUGAAUUAAACGGAAGAAGUACAACCUGGUGAAAAAGAUUUUAAUAUUAACUAUGAAUUAGCUUAAACAGUAGUAGAAGCAUUGAUGAAAAAAUCAAACGUAUUUUAAACUUGAAACUAGAAAGAUGAGUAACAAUUCUUGUAAAAAAUAAGUCCUCUUCAAAGUAAACGAUUUCUUUUUCCUUCUCUUUGCUAAAAAUAAGUAAUUGGAGUGGCUAAAAAUAAGAGUUUUUGUUGUUGAACCGGUUUUAAUGUUUUAGGGUUUAGUUUCAUCGAGCCCAAAUUGAAAAAAAAAACCCAACUCCAACCCUAAACUAACAACUCGGCCCAAUUUUAAAAGAUAAACAUCCAUCCCACUUAAUUAAAUUACCCAGCUCAAUCCAUGUACAAGAAAUGAAUUUUACAAAGAACAAAAAUCUAAUAAGCAUAAUUUUUUCCUGCAGCAGUAGGAGCAAAGCAAAAGCUUAUAGCUGCUCUUGCCUCUCAGUCAGCCCUGAGCUCCUCCCCGCCAACCACCGGCGAGGUGAGGUCUGGAUCUUUUUUUCAUUUAACAGCUGCCUUUUUGUUUAGCUACUAGCUUAUGUUUAGGACCUCUCCGGUUCAUGGGUGGUUAUAUUUGUUAAUGUUAAGUUAUUAAUUGAAAAGAAAGAUAAGAAAUGAGAAGUAUUGGUGAUUUUUCAAAAUUUUUCUGCUUUUCCCUAUUUUUCAGAAAUUUUCUUUUUUUAGGUUGGGCUCGUUGGACAGGGAACUUGUGAUCUGAUCAGUUCAACCACUGGUUCAAUUCUGAAAUUGACCACCAAACCAUUAUAAAGAAAGUUAAUUAUAAUAAUUUUUCAGAAAGAUCCUUUCUCCUUUUGGCAGGCAUUUUUUGUUGUGGAAUGUGCUUGGGAAAAAGAAAGAAGCAGAAGAAGAAUGGUUCACAGAUUUUCAACUAGAUUAUUGAAUGUUUGCAUAGCUUCACUAUGUAAGGCCCAUAACUUGGAGAAAGCUGAAUCAGUUAUUAUCGAUGGUAUAAGAUUGGGAGUGCUUCCUGACGUUGUAACUUACAAUACAUUGAUUGAUGCAUACUGUCAUUUUGGAAUUGAUGCUGGUUACGCCAUUCUUCAUCGAAUGAGAGAAGCUGGUGUUACCCCAGAUAUUAUUUCAUAUAAUUCUUUGAUAGCUGGUGCCACUAGGAAUCACCAAAUAUCUCGGUCUCGUGAUCUAUUUGACGAAAUGAUUGAAAGAGGCAUAGUCCCUGAUGUUUGGAGUUACAAUAUUUUGAUGCACGGCUUUUUCAAGUUAGGAAAACCAGAUGAGGCCCAUAGGGUUUUUAAGGAUAUUAUACUUGCUGAGCAUUCACCUUCUAUUGCUACUUUUAAUAUUAUGAUGAAUGGUCUUUGCAAGAAUGGGUAUACAAUGAAUGCUUUUAUGUUGUUUAGGAACUUACAGCGUCAUGGAUUUGUGCCAGAGUUAUUGACUUACAAUAUUCUUGUUAGUGGAUUAUGCAAGAUUGGUAGAUUAGGGUCAGCAAGGAGGGUUCUUAAAGAAAUAGUGGAAUCGGGCCAUGUUCCAAAUGCCAUAACAUACACUACUGUAUUGAAAUGCAUCUUUAGAAAGAAGAAGUUUGAAGAGGGAAUUGAGCUAUUGUUGGAAAUGAAGAGUAAAGGGUAUACAUUUGAUGGUUUUGCUUAUUGUACAGUUAUUGGUGCUCUAACUAAGAUAGGUAAGGUGAAACAGGCGACUGAAUUCAUGGUGGACAUGAUUGAAACUGGUAUCGAGCUUGAUAUAGUAUCUUAUAACACGCUAAUUAAUUUGUACUGUAAAACUGGUGAGUUGGAAGAAGCCUAUAAGUUGUUGGAUGAGAUAGAAAAGAAAGGGUUGGAGUGUGAUAAGUAUACACACACUAUAAUGAUUGAUGGAUUGUGCAAGGCAGGUAAGGUUGAGGUGGCCGCACAACAUUUGAAGUAUAUGAAUAUGAUGGGCUUUGAUUCAAACUUGGUUGCAUAUAACUGUUUGGUUGAUGGGUUGUGUAAAGUUGGUCAGAUCAAUGAUGCAAUCAAAGUCUAUAAAUCAAUGGAGGUAAGAGAUUCUUUUACCUACUCCUCUUUGGUGUACAACCUUUGCAGGGACAGGAGGUAUCAUUCUGCAGCCAAGAUCUUGCUAUCUUGUUUACGAAGUGGCAUGAAAAUUCUGAAGUCUGCUCAACGAGCUGUCUUGCUUGGUCUUCGCUAUUCUGGAUUUCCUAGAGAAGCAAAAAGGCUGAAGUCUAAGAUUCGCAUCGCUCGAAUAUUGAAUCAUUGAUAAUUUAGUCAAUAUUUUUGAUUUUAGUGUUAAAAGUUGGAAGAUUAUGUACUUCAGUUGAUUUACCAUCAAGGAUAAUUCAUUUUGGAUCAAGGUCCUGAUUGAAAUAAUGUGUUUCUUUUUGUUGCAAGUUCAAUGGUUCUCUUGGGGUGGUAAUCCUGUAGGCCAUGAUAGAGAUCAGCAACUCUGAAUCAAGCCGCAUCUACCGUGUAAUGCAUGCUCUGUAUCUGUAUUUCCUGCAUAUAAAACCAGAUGAAGAGAUAUGCACUGCUUGGAAACACUAGUCCAGCUUCAGGAGCUAUGUAGCAUGUUCACAAGAGAUUCAUCUAAGAAGCUUUUUACGUGAUUAGCUUCUGGAUUAUUUAACUUCAUUUUCUCCCUACCAAAAUUCAAUUCUUGAAGAAUUUCCCUAUUGGAAUCAUGUAAGGAAUCACUUCCUUUGAAAAGUGAAAUCUUUUAUUCUUAUUGUGACAUAACGAAGAAGUUAGGUGUUAUUUUAUACUCUUAAAGAUUUGUUGCAUGAGGGAACUGGCAUCGUUUUAGGGGGUGUGUAGACGAACCUUGUAUCUAGGGCUUAUUUCUUUAUUAUUCAUUUUUUUCCCUUUAUCUAUAUGUAUGUAAAUAAAACAAUUCUUGUGCUGUGGACAAUUUACAAUCUUGAUGGAAACAAAAAUGAAGGAAAAAAUGUUCGUUUAAAGAGCUUGAUGCAUAUUUUAAAGGAUUUACUAAACUAUACGUGUGGCUAUAUUCUUGUAAUUGAUUAUUUCAUUUUGUUAUUUACAAUGUGAUGAAAUUGUUUGUUUUUGGAAUCUCUUACCUUACCAUCUUUGGAAUUUGAAUAUUCUGGUUCUUUUUCAGUACUGUACCAUUCUACAAUUUAUACGUGUACUUUCUGAUAAGUCUAUACUUCUUUAUUUUAUAUUCUUCUAGUUUCUUUUUAAUCAGUCAUUCUUGCAACAAUUACUUUCUUUUGUUAUUAUUGGAACUUUGUCAUUUAACUUUAUUUUGUUGGGAAAUGCACUGCUUUUUUUGGCAACCUGUUGAUGGGAACCAACUGAUGGUCGAUGGGCGCAAGUGUGGAAAAUCAGAGGACCUUAACAGUUUCUAUGGACUGCCAUGCAAGAUAAGCUAUUAUCUAAUGUCAAGCAUUGUAAGAGAGGUAUGGUCAACAAUCCAAUUUGCAUUAUAUGCGGCAAUGGACAAAAGACUGUAAUUCUUGGUAUAGAGAAUUGUCAUAUUGCACAAUUUUUUUGGAAUAAAAUCGUGCCUCAGCGACAUCAGUCCAGGUUAUUUUCCUUAGCCUUAUCUGAAUGGCUAUUGGUUAAUUAUAUUGAUAUUGGAAAUGAUCUUGAAUGGAUUACAGUUUUUCGCUUAAUAUACUGGAACCUCUGGAAACAAAGAAAUAAUCUUCAAUGCUGGUUUUGUUAUAAUGCACAGUAUCGCCUGGGCGACACAUUUUUUGUCAAGGUCUCCAAGAUAAGAUCCCAAGGCCAACGGCUUUCUGCAUUUUUGUAAUUUUGGGGUUACAAUAUUUUGAUGCACAAGUCGUGGGAAUGAGUACCAUCAUGCAGGUUAAGGUUUGGGAAAUUUAUGAUGGUUUAGAUAUGGUAGAUGGGGCUUCCUAAGGUAGUUGUUGAGUGUACAGUAUCAAAAUGUGGCCGCAAUGCAACGUAAAGGUCGUAUUGUUACAAUCAUAAUGGAUUUUGGAACUACCAUGCUGCAAAAUACCCGCAUCAUCAUUGUGAUUCGGAAUCACGUUUGUAACGGGCGUUACCCUCAACAUAGUGUCUGCAAGAGGGGAAAAUAGCGCUGCAAAGCCCUUGUUUCUUCAGAUUUGCAAUGAAAUGUAGUUAAAACCGUUUAUCUUCAAUUUUGUUUAAUCAAACUUGUUAUAAAAGUAAUAAAAGGAGAUAAGAAGUUCAAAAGAAGAGUUAUUUGUUGUUUAAAUACAUAUAUGAAAUUGAUAUAAGUGAAUGGAAAUGGUUUAAAUGAAUUGAAACGUGGGAAUUGUCAUAUGUAUUAAAGUUGGGAUAAAGAAUCUGUAAUGUAUAUGUAUAUAUAAUGCUAAAGGCUAGAAUUAAGUAUGCGAAUGGUAUUGUUAGCUGAAAUGGUUGAAUUGAGGUAUUGAAUUGCUUAUUUAGGUGUUAUAAAUUGGUGCCAUUUGGACCUGUUGAAAUCAGACGAUCACAUCGCGAUGUCAAGCUCUCAACGUUGUGACACAUCACGAUGAGGACAAGUCAAGGAGAUAGGUCGCAAUCUGAUACAACGUCAACACGAUAUUUAUACAUUUUAUAAUUCGGUCUUUAUUCGAUUUCAAGUCUUCUUAUGAACUUUCGUGAGCUCAUAGAUUAUUUGGAUAUGAUUUUAAAAUAUAUUUUGAAUGCAUAAUAUACUUAUCAGCAUAUGUAAAUGGUUAUAUUGUGUUGUAAUGAUUGCCUCGACAACGAAUGUGACAUUUCAUAGUUUGGAUUUGACGAUUGAGUCGGGAAUGAAGUGUUACAAGACAUUCGAAACAUGAUAAUAGUAAUGGUGAUGAAUAUUAUGAUGAUGAUAUUGUUGGUAUAAAAGAGAUAUAAUACUAGUUGGAAGAAAUGAUAUAAUUUGUAGUAAAAUUUUGUAAGUUAUUUAAAAUAUUUUUAUCAUUUUUACAAAAUUUUAAUAUUUUUUUAGAAACUUUAUAAUUUGCAAGAUUUUAAAUUUUUCUUGGAUGAUAUCAUUGUGAUAUCAUAUUACAUGUUGCGAAAUUAUGAAUAACAUUAAGAUUUAAUCUAGGAAAAAAAAUCAUAGAUUAAAGUCGAAAAUAAUAUACUAAUUCAAUUGUACAUUAAAGCUCAAAAGUACAGUCUAAUGAAAUAGGAUCAAAUUAAAAUAUAUGAGUUUUAAUCUUAUUCUUUUUUACCACCUCUUACUCUUUAUAUCAUUUGAAGUGUCAUCCUCAAAAUAUUUUACCUUAAUCAUUCUUACGUAGAGUCUAUUUCGUGAUGGAUGAAUAAAGUAUAAUAUCCUAUAGGGAUAUUGUUACUGAUGGACAAAGAGGAAAGAAAGAAAUGUCAGAUCAUCACGAUAGAAUGUGUGGAGAGCUGCAGGGAAUAGGAUUAGAGGUUAAAGUAAAUGAUGGAAUGGCAUUCACCAUUUAAUCAAAUAAGUUAUUCUUGUACUCUUAAAUUUAUUACUUGGAUCAUUAAAAUUCUCGAUAAAAUUUAAAAAAAAUAUUAUCUCGAUCGGAGAAUAAUACAAACUUAGAUACAUUGAUGUUAGUGUAUUUUAAUCUAUGUAACCAACAUUACUUAAGUGGUAAAAUUUAAUCGAGGAUCAGAACAAAGAAUUACAGGAACUGUCUUGUUUCUACAUUAACAUCCCAAGUUUGGAGAAAAGAAAAAGAAAAAUGUAAAAUUGGAAUAUUUGCAUCCCAAGUACUAAAACUAGAACUAGAACUGCAACUAGAGCUAGUACCAUUCACUUCACUAAUUAGAACGCUCAGGCCGUUCAUUCGUUAGUUCAAGUCUUUUUCUAGUCAACUUUCUUUCUUCUGUCUUCUGAGUUGUGACCGAGUUGUGUUGUGCCUCCACUAAGUAAAGUUGCAGCUGAAAUUAUACUCACUGUACUCUCUACUCCUUUAGUUGCAGUUUCUGAUUCACUAGACGUGAGGAAUCCAGACGUAGAGUGAUGGGCUGCUUCCAGUCCAAAAUCCCUCAUCAGCUUCCUCCUCCACCUCCUCCUCCGCCGCAAACUAACUCAGAUCUAGGUCAUUUUCUUUUCCUUUCCCAUUUCUUCUCUUCAUACACAAUAUAAAAUAAUUUAUCCUUCAUCCAUGGACUCUUUAUUUAUUUUUACUUAUCAGAUGGGAAUGGGGAACAGCAGGCGGUGCCCGCAUUCAACGAGUUCAGCCUCGCCGAGCUGCGGGCAGCUUCCAAUGGAUUCAGCACUGACCUCAUUGUGUCAGAGAGUGGAGAAAAGGCUCCCAAUGUGGUGUACAGAGGGAAGCUUAAGAACAAUCGAGUAGUGGCCAUUAAGCGAUUCUCGAGGCAAUCAUGGCCCGACCCUCACCAGUUUGUUAACGAAGCUGCUAUGGUUGGGAACCUCCGUCACAAGAGGUUGGUCAAUUUGAUCGGCUGUUGCGCCGAGGGGGACGAGCGCUUGUUGGUCGCUGAGUAUAUGCCUAAUGAUACCCUCUCUAAGCAUCUUUUCCAUUGUAUGUCUUUCCCCCUCAUUUUUGCCUUUGCUCCUUUCUGACAUUUUCCUUCUUUUCUUUUUACUAUUAAACAGUGGCAUCCUCCUUUACUCCCUUUGAUUGCGUAUUUAUGAAAAUUGCUAUCAAUAAUGCAGGGGAAAAACAGCCUUUACCAUGGGAAAUGCGCCUUAGAGUUGCUUACCAUAUUGCUCAAGCCCUUGAGCACUGCAACGCUCAAGGCCUUAAAAUUUAUCACGAUUUAAAUGCUUACAGAGUUCUUUUUGAUGAGGUACAUUCCCUUUCCACCCCAAUAUUUUUCUUACCUCUGCUAAUUUCCUUUCCACCAUAAUAUCUUUCUUUUCCGUGCUUCCACUGCUUUAGUAAAUGAGGGCUGAUUCAUGAAGAGAUUGAAUGUUAUCUUGUUUAUUGUUACUACAUUGAUGAAUAUUUGUUUUAUUAUUGAUCAUUAGCUUCAACAUUCUUUGUGAUUCAACAUUUAAAGCUCUUGGAGAUUUAUGUAUGACAUGGGACGGCUCUUUUUGAAAUGGGUAGAAAACGGCACCUCUUUAGCAGUUCUAGAACCUUUCCUGCUAAUUUUGCACUCGUCUAUGAUAUUUGGGCACAUUUGUUUUCAUUACAUUUUGAAUGUUAACCACAUUCUCAUUUGACAUUCAUUUUAGUGGUUGGCCUUGCUAGUCUGGCAUGGGCUUUGUGGUUUUGGAGAUCUCAAAAUUAAUUGUUUCAGUGGGAUAGACUACUAGAGAAGACUAGAAUAUAGGAUCCAUCUUCAUAAAUAUUAAAUAGCCAUGUUCCAUAAGUAAAAUUAUAGAUUGAAAUUGUGCUCAACGUUUAUGACUUGUCUCUGAAGGCAGAUCAGUUGCCAGCAUUGGCAUUUAGCUUUUCUGUUUCUUUUCUAAUUUUAAUUUCAUUUUAUGCCAGGAAGGUGAUCCUCGGUUAUCUAGUUUUGGACUAAUGAAAAAUAGCCGAGAUGGGAAAAGCUACAGUACAAAUUUGGCAUAUACUCCUCCUGAAUUUUUGAGGACAGGUAUGUGCUUCUGAUUUCAAUUAUUCACUUAUGGACAACUAGGAUUUUCAAAUUCAACAAACUAGUUUUCUUCUUUAAUCUUGAAGUAAGAAAGAAAAUACAUUUCGUACGCCUUCUGAAAAGAAGGGGAUUUAGUUAUUGAAUUGAUAUUCUUUCACUGCUAAAUAAUUUGAAUGUUAAAAUCUUCAGGCAGGGUCAUCCCCGAAAGUGUGGUCUACAGUUAUGGAACUGUACUCCUGGAUCUCUUAAGUGGAAAGCAUAUCCCUCCCAGCCAUGUAUGAUACAUUCUAUUAUCCAAAUUUAGUUCUUUUCUUUGUAUUUCCCUGCUAAUACUGCUCUCAAAGUUCUUAGUGAGGAAAAAUUGCUGUUCUGGUAGAAUUUGGGUAUAUCUUGAGUUUCUUUGCAACUUUUUAAUGUAAAAUUGAUCCUUCCUGGCAUUGGAAUUCAGUUAUUUUUCUGUACAUGUAAGCACUAAGAAUUAGUUGGACCCGAGGCUUUUGGUAAGUGUUUUAUUUACCGUUUGGCUAGGUUCCAUGAGAAGUUGUUGUUGGGAGGCUUAGAAAGUCAAGUAAGAUCUGUAAAAUUUUGGCAGAGUGCAGAAUAUCCUAACAUAGAAGUCCUUAAUAUCCACUGUACUAUUAUGGAACUGUUCUAUAGAUGAUGUUGAGCUUUAUCAAUGUCCCAUAAGAUGGGUCAAGGAACUAAAAGUAGAAGUCUUGUAUUAUAUAUAUAUAUAUAUAUAUAUAUAUAUAUAUCACNNNNNNNNNNNNNNNNNNNNNNNNNNNNNNNNNNNNNNNNNNNNNNNNNNNNNNNNNNNNNNNNNNNNNNNNNNNNNNNNNNNNNNNNNNNNNNNNNNNNAGAUACACACAAUAGAUGAGUCCUGCAGUGUUUCAAGAAUGGUGGUUCCUUUCGUUUAUCCCUGGGGAGGCAUUAGUCAGGGACUUCUAUGUUUUGAUUAUUUUGGUAUUCUUUUUUGGUGACUGCUGAUAUUCUGCUUGUUUAUCUGUUAUGAUCUUUGUUCUCAUUUACUUACGUAUGAUACAGCUACAUCUGUAAAUUUUAUGUCAUCAAUUUUGAAACUAUUAUGUGACUUGAUUCUCCAGGCCUUGGAUUUGAUAAGAGAGAAGAAUUUAUUGUUGUUAAUGGAUUCUUCCCUGGAAGGACAAUAUGCUAAUGAAGAUGCCAGGGAAUUGGUUGAAUUGGCUUCAAAAUGUCUUCAGUAUGAGGCUAGAGAUCGACCUGAUACCAAAUUCCUCCAUUCAGCAGUGGCACCUCUUCAAAAACAGGAGGUGAAAAUUUCCAGUCAUUGAACUCACUGCCAUUUCAAUUUUAGAGUAUCAUGUAUUGAUGCAUCUUAAACCCUACUGAAGUAAUACGUUCCCUUGCUUUCCAUAGGUUGCCUCACAUAUUCUAAUGGGUCUAUCAAAAACCCCAGUGGUGCUGCCAACUAUGAUUUCCCCGCUUGGAAAGGCAUGUGCUAGGAUGGAUCUUACUGCAGUGCAUGAUAUCUUACUGAAAACUGGUUAUAAAGAAGAAGAAGGUGCAGAAAAUGAGGUGGGUUACGGCUAUUUUACUUUGUCAAUGUCACAUAAUAACUGGCUAUGCAUAGUUUCAUUUGUCUGUCCCUUCUGUGGUUUAAUAUGCUGGCACUGUGUGAUUGGUGAAGCUGUCAUUCCAAGAGUGGACACAACAGGUUCAGGAUAUGCUGAAUACAAAGAAAUUUGGAGAUAUUGCAUUUAGAGACAAAGAUUUUAAAAAUGCUAUUGAUUACUACUCAAAGGUAACUUUCUUCAUGCGGUGUACUUGUUUACUAUUUGACAAGCUUGCUUACUGGGAUGUUAUAUUAAACAUAAGUUAAUUUUUAAUUUUUAUUCUAGUUGUUAGAAAAUAUUUAUUGGCCUCUGAAUAAUCUCCAAAAGAGAGUUUAACCUGCUAAUAUUUCAUGUUUGGAGUCCAACUUAUUUUCUUUAGCUACAUAAUUGUUUUGGGUAUUACGGAAUUGCUUUAGCUUGAUCAAUCUGCUUUGUUCCUCCAUUUCCUUUCUACAUGCUUGUAAACAAAUUUCAACCUGGGUUUUCAGUUUUUAAAGGUAGUUAACGUUUUCCCCUUGAAUGCAGUUGGUAGCGAUGAUGUCUGUUCCUUCUGGUACUGUAUUUGUGAGAAGAGCCCUUUCAUACUUGAUUAUUGGCCAACCAGAACUUGCCUUGAGAGAUGCCAUGCAGGCUCAGGUAUGCUUGCCCGAGUGCCCCACUGCCUUCUACAUGCAAGCUCUUGCCCUCUCCAAGCUUGGAAUGGAAACCGAUGCACAGGACAUGCUUAAUGAUGGAGCCUCAUUUGAGGCAAAGAAGCAGAAUGGCUGGCGUGUCUAAGCAGCGAUCAGGCAGUAUUGUUAUUUUUUUUUCAAAAAAAAAAGAAAAAAAGAAAAAGAAAAGAGUUUGACAUAAAGAAAUGUGUAAAGGAUAUUAAAUAUGAUGGAAUAAAAUAGAGUAGGAAAAAGACAUUUGGUUCUGGUGCUGCUGAUUUUCUGAACAAGUUUUGGUUGAGAGUUUGGAUCCUUGUAGCAUUCUGAACCAAACUCAGCACCACCAGAACCCGAGAACCUAAUCCCUAAAAAAUGCGUUUUGUCCCUGUAGUAUGAAAUAAAGCAUUUUGAUCCUUCAUAGUAUUAAAUUUUGUAAGGUUAAACCCCAAAACCAUGACAUGAAUUUUCUUUCGAUAUGUGGCAUUACUGAAUAAAAUGGGUUCCAUCGUCUUGACCAGGGCCACUCAAGAAAAGAUCAAAGCCACAAUUAUAGAGAUGUGAAAUGCUUUUAUCUUAGAAGACAAGGAUGAGGGGUUUUAGUGCCAUUGACGAGCGGAUGAAGAUAUUGAGGUGGGUGCAGCUGCCCCUGCCGUUUUAUUCUACGAAUCUCGCAAGCUUGGGAACUCAUUUAAAGUGUAUAGGUGUAGUUAUAUGAAACUUGUUUUGUGAUCCGUAAGAGCAAAAAUUGUUCCCACUCUGAGUUUUGACAGUUCAAUGAAAGAACAAUAAAACACAAGUGGAAAAUAACAAUAUAGAAGUUUAAGAGAUAGGACGGUUAUAUGAGUUUUGAAUCUACUGUACAAUUUCACGCUCCAACAGAUAAUCUCAGUCAAAAUUAUUCCAAUUUGUUUGCCCCCGUUAUAAAAAAUAAAAUAAUUUUGUAAUUUUAUUAAAAAAAGCCUGACAGCAAGGUUUUUAGUUUUCUUUUGCAACUUAUACUCCUUUUUAUUGUUAGAAUUCCAACGUGUAAUUACCCAGUCAUAAAAAUAAAAUAAUGUGUAAAUUAAAAAAAAGCCAGGUAAGUAAAUCUAGCAGACUUGAGGGAAAUGGCUGGACUAAGGACUAAAAAAGUCCAAAAUGGAAAAGUAGUGGGAUUAAAUUUGAGCUAGAAGGACUAAAUUCGUAUAUUUUGAUAAGUAUAGGAACCAUUCUUAAAAUUUUACCUUUGGAAAUUAAUAAAAAGAAUUACAAAUACCAAUAUUUAAAUGUCAUGUUUACUGAACACAGAGGCGCGAUAGAUUCUUCUAAUAAUUUAUCCAAUCUUCAAGCUUCAAACCCCCUACCACUGAAAAGAAAAAGGAAAAACAAAAAAAAACCUCAAAUGAGUCUUCACCAAAUAGCUGUCUCUCAUUCUUUUCUGUUAUCUUCUCGCUCUGCUUAUACUCUCAAUCCUCUUUUGUUCUCAAAACGAAACCGUUUUCGCAUUUCCCUCUCUCACUCUCGUUUCACUUCGAUAAAACAUAGGAGCUUUGCUGGUAAAAUAAAAUAUAAUGAAAACGUCUUUUUAUUAGUAAAAUCAGCCUAGAACUUGAAAGUCGUGCAUUCUUCUGUGAAACUUUUGAUGAAUUUAGUUAAUAUCUUUAGCAUAUUCAUUUUAAAGGGUACUUAUUUGAGUUGCAUAUGAGUUUAAUUUCUUGUCGCAUUUUCAGUGGCUGUAUCAGACAACGGCAUUUUCACUUCUCCAGAGUUGGCAAAGUCGUUUGAUUUUACUUCGGAAGAACGAAUAUACAAUUGGUAUUUUAUUCUUGAAUCUGAUAAUCAGUUCUUUAUUUUCCUUUUAUAAAGAUUCAUCUUUUUAAAUUGAAUUUUGAGGUUUUUAUGUUGUUUGCUCCUUAUCUUUGGCCAAAUAAAAGUUUUCGAUUUACUGAAGUUAACGAAAGUGAUUAAAUGUAUCAAUGUUAGAGAAGAGGCUAUUUUAAUUAUUUCAUCCUUAUGAACUUAUCUUUAUGUGUCUGACACAGAUGUAUUCAAUUCUUUUUCAUGUCCAAAUAUGUGUAGGAUAAUCGCGUUUACAUAUUUUAGCUUUAUAUAGCUUUUGACAGGUUAAUAAUUCGUAUUAUAUUGAUUUAGGCAUGUUUGUGUAUUCGUGUGUGGUGUUUCUAUUUUAUGUUAUGCCAUGUAUUAUAUACUGUUUUAGUUUUCUUUUUUUUUUUUCUGAAUCGGGUUUAUGUUGUGUUUUACUUUUAUCCUUUUCACAUGGUUCAUAUUUUGACAAACCGAACAUUGGAUUUAACAAUAUAAUCGUACUGGUUCGUGUUUGUAAAGUUUCAAAUAGAUGAAAUAACUCUAUCAUAUCAAUCGAGAAUACUAUUUUUUUAAAUAUAUUUUAGCGGUUGAAAGUUUUUUACAUUGAACAAAUGGUUAGAUAUAUUUUUAAUUUUCUUAAAACUUGAUGGAUGAUCUAUGUGAAUAGAAUGUGAAAUAUGAUGGUAAUGAUGGUAGGGUUAAACAAUUACAUAUCCUAUGAAAAGAUAUGAAAGUGCAUAAAACUAAAUAGUUUUGCACUUAUAUAAGUGGAUUCCUCCCUAUAUAUGUCUGUAUAAAAUAAGUUCUUAGAUUUGGUUGUUAUCUCCACAAUAAGAAACACCCUUUUUUGCUUGUCAUUUCAUUCCUCUUUUUGGUUGACAUAGUUAGCAUAAUUAAAGACAUUGGAUCACUUUUCAAGUUAAAUUUUUGAUCAAAUAUUGAUCUUAAGUAUUUCGUUUAUGCAGGUCCUGCAAUUUUUGUAUGUUUGUAAAGCUUUUACUUGUUUAUUUUAUUCUGGGAGGGUUUGUGUGUCUAAAAAUGCUGUUAUGAGCAACUGUUCUACUGUUCUGAAUUAACCGUCAGAAAGUUUUUUUUGUUAAACUUCAGCAUAUGUGCCCUUGUUUAGAAUUUAGAUAUGAUUAGAUGUUCUUACUUGUAAUGAAUUUUGUUAACAUAUAUAUAUCUGUUGAGAGUAUUUAUGGAACUCUUGGAUGUCAGGUGGCUGUCUCAAGGCUAUUUCAGACCAAAAUUUGACUGGGAAAGUGAUCCUUUUGUCAUAUCAAUGCCACCUCCUAAUGUUACUGGCUCUCUGCACAUGGGACAUGCAAUGUUUGUAACUCUUGAGGUUGUGAAGAUUAUUAAAUGAAUCUGAAAGGACUUAGUUGCCAUUACUUCUUUCACUGGUAGUGUCAAACAUUUAGGAUGCAUUUGUCAGGCAUUAUUGAUACAACAUUCUGUGGUUUUCUGAAUUUAUUAAUAAACUUGAAAGUGCAGAUAACUACAUGCGGACAACCUUUGCAUCUCAACUUCGAAAGAUGUUUCAUAUAGCAUAAUCUGAUUUUAUUCAACGCAUUUGAGUCUACAGUGGUCGAUGUAACUCCUUGUACUCAGAAAAUGUCUUCUUAGUAAAAAUGGCCAGAUUCUCUUAAUUGUAGUGGUUAGUGUCUUGGAUGAACCUUGAUGAAGAUGUGGAGGAGGAUGAGAUAUAAAGAUACAAAGAUCCUUCUAGUUCUAACAGAUUCUAACCUUUAUUUUUUAGACAUUGUAAUUAUUGUAAAUUUUGUUGACUUCGCUAUUGGUGUUGUCAUGCUUAUUUAUUUAAUUGUAUCCGUCUCCUUUGGUGGUCUCCGUUAGGAUAUCAUGGUUAGGUACCAUCGCAUGAGGGGAAGACCAACACUUUGGCUUCCUGGAACUGAUCAUGCUGGCAUUGCAACUCAGGUUAGUCUCUUGAUGAUCAUGAUUUCUGCUCAUCUGAUCUCCCGAACUAGUAAGAAAAAAAAGGAAGACAUAUUUUGGAAUAGUCUAAUAAUCUAAUCCAACUACCUUCAGUUUUAACUUGUGUAAUGUUUUCUGGAAAAAGGAUUGAUCUUUAUGGUUGUAUUAUCUCUAGUAAUCUUUUUGUAAAUAUAAUGUUUUCAUCUUUGUUGUUGAUUUAUAUUCUGCCCUCUUUAUACAUAAUGUUCUGUGUAGAGAAUGAGUAUAUAUGUUGUAUCCUGUUGAAUGGGAAUAUAUAAUUGAACCUAUUUUACUUUUCUUUUCCCAGUUGGUUGUGGAAAGAAUGUUGGCUUCUGAAGGAAUAAAAAGGGUAGAACUGGGCAGAGAUGAAUUUGAAAAACGAGUUUGGGAGUGGAAAGAGAAGUAUGUCUUCCCUUAAAUUAUUUGCAUACUUGGUUUUUCUGCUGUUCUUUGCUGAUUUUGAAUCUGUUACUUUGUACAUAUCAUCUAUUGUGUUUUUGUUGUUUCUGAAGAAAGGGUUUUUUUUUUUUGGGGGGGGGGGGGGUUCUCCGCAACUUCAAUAAAUUCUACUUCUUCUCCUUCCAAAUACUGAUACUUAUGGGGUUUUAUUGCUUUAACCCGUUGCUUAAUUUCUGGUGUUUAUUGUUCAUUUUUGACCAUUAAGGUUUCAUAUAGGUACUACUUUGUUUUGUAUGUUUUAUCUAUUUUUUGUUCAUUGCUGGUCUUUUUUCUUUUCAAUUUCAGAUAUGGUGGGACCAUUACUAAUCAGAUUAAGAGACUUGGGGCUUCUUGUGACUGGACUAGAGAAUGUUUCACCCUCGAUGAGCAGCUAAGUCGUAAGACAAGUUUUAUAUCUAGUAAAAGUGAAAUCUAGCUAAUGUUCAAAGUCUUUAAAUUAUGUGUAAAGUUCCAAUCUGUGACCUGUUUUACUUGUUACCUCAUUUGUUUUCUUUGCAUUGUACAUAUGGCAGUAAUAAUAGUAGUGAUAAUCAUAGAAGUAAUAAUUAGGCGCUUACAUUUGUUCAAAUAACAGUAGGGUAAGUUUGUGUUCUGAACCUUGCAUUCCUAUUGCAGGAGCUGUUAUAGAGGCAUUUAUUAGACUUCACGAAAAAGGAUUAAUUUAUCAAGGUAUAUGCCAAAAUUCCAUUGCUUACUAUCAUGUUUCACUUUGCUAACUGAUAUUUAGCAUGUUUACUUUCUCAUUUGAUCAUAAUAUUCUAUCUUCCUCCUUUGCUUCAGCUGCCUAUCAUAGGGAAAAGAAAAUAAUGUCAAUAUUAUCUUUCUGUGCACUAAAAAUCUAGAAGAAAUUAUGAUAUCAAAUGAAAAACAACAAAGAAGACUGGUAUUAACAUUUAAAAGGAAUUUUAUAUAUCUUUUCCCCCUUAGAGUGUAUUGAUUUAGAAAUAUUGAUGGUUCAAUUUGACUUCUAGUCUGAGUUAGUCAUUGACUGGUCCAAACUUGGUAACAUGGAACUGAUGUAAAUAGACUUUUCUGUACUUAUUAUUGUACAUGUGCAUAUAGAAUGUCUGGUCUGAAAAUAGCUGAGCAAAAGACUGAAGGGAAGGAGGUUCUAAACUUAAAAGCUUUUCUUUUGGACUUCAAGUACAGUUAUUUUUCAUGGUGACUUGAAUAUAUUCUCUGGAGUUUGGCGGUAGGAUGUGGGAACUACUUUCUUUUUCGUUUGUUAAUUUAUCAAAUAUUUAACUAUACAACUCAGCUCAGAUUUUUCUGAUUUGAUUUUAUUGUUAAUUGCACCAUAUUAGUCUCAGUAACUAACCUAGUUUAACUGAUAUGAUAUCUUCUUUUAGGGUCUUACAUGGUUAACUGGUCUCCAAAGUUACAGACUGCUGUUUCAGACUUGGUAUGAAUCUUGUUUGCAUGGGGAUAUUGCUUUUCUUUUUAUGCAUUUUGUUUUACAUUCUUUAUCAUUCAACAUUGUCUUUUGCAUGUUCCCAUAGGAAGUAGAAUAUUCUGAAGAGCCUGGUACCCUCUACUAUAUUAAAUAUCGCGUUGCUGGAGGUUCAAGGUACUUCUUGUUAGGCAUUUUUUGUGUGUUUUUGCUUUGCUUUUCUGGAGUAAGAAUGGACUUAAAUAACUCAAACAAGAAAAUGUAGUCAUUCAACUGGAUUCAUAAUUGCCAGAGUAAAAAGAUAGAAGGACUGAGAGAAGACAGGGAAUGUUAUGUUACCUUAAGAGCUUUAAAAAUUUACUCUAAUUGGAAUGUCAAAUGUGGUAACUAAGUGGUAGAGAAUCUCCUUAUCGUAAUAUUAUUUUAUUUUUGAUUUAAUAUAAAAUUUACACAUGCUUUCAUUUCAUAUGGACAUAAAUGUCCUCAAAUAGAUCAUUUGCAUCUACUUUUUUAAUAUUGCCAUGUACUUUGACUGAUACUUUAAAUUUUGCUCUCUAUUAGAAGUGAUUUCUUAACAAUAGCAACAACAAGGCCUGAAACUCUGUUUGGUGAUGUAGCUAUAGCUGUGCAUCCUCAGGUAUAACACCUUCAUUUUCUAUUGAAAUACUUGUGAAGAAUGCAUGGCCAAGUGAUAAGUAGUUACUUCUGGUAAUUCAAACUUUAUAAGAUGUGAUGCAAUGGUCCUUGGUUAAUUGUUACUUUCUGUGCCUAUGUGCUUAAGAGGCUGUGUCUUUGAUAUAUUGAUCAAUGUAGUGUAAAGAAUCUUCCUAUUCUGCUCUUUUUCUUUACUACUAAAGUACUUACAUAAGGGAAUAUGUUUCCAAUUUUAUGUGGGUUUUUCUGGAGUAUGGUUUGAAGUGCAAUAGAAUAACAUACAAUGCAGGAAGAAGAAUAGAAGUAAUUGGAAAAUAUGAAUAAGGAUGCAGCAUUUAUGAAAUAUUAUGAUAAACAUAAAGACCAUUUCUGUUUCUAGUUAUUCAUGGAAGCUUACGAAUGCAUGUAUUACAAUAAACCAUAAAAGAAGAGGAAAUAUUGACAACAUGAUGCACUAUUCAUAAAGCUAGUAAAAUCUGUUAAAAGCUAUAUCUUUAUGGAUUUCUACUAAAAUCCUUAUCAUGUAUAUACAUUAAUUGAUCGAAUUUGAUAAUUAUAUUGGAUUUAGAUUUUUAAACUUGGUACAGUUGAAUCAUCAAAUUUUAUAUUUAACAUUAGUUCAUGACCACUAUAAUAUAACUGCGUUUGCAAUAUAGUGAGAUUUUUUUGUUAAUAUUUCUAUUGCGUUUUCACCAUUUUUUAGUAACUCAUGUAACAGACAAUUUCCUUCAUCCAAUUACUGAGUGCAUUUAUUUAGAAGUAGAUCAUACUAUCUUGUGGGCCGAAUAAAGGAUGCUGUUUGAGAAAUUGUUGAUUGAUAGGACUAUUCUUUACAAAGAAAUAGAAAGUGUGAAUUAUUUAAAUAAAAACAAAAGACGAUUCACUGGUUGCAUGAUGCCACCUGGAUAAAGGCACCAGUGAUUGGUUAAUGUGGAAAAAGAUUUAAAUAAUAAGGUUAACUUGAGCAACAUAACAUAUAACAGUUUUAUUAAAGAAUCUUUGGAUGCAGCAUUAAAAAUGCUUUCUUUUAGUUAAACCAUAGUGGCCUUUUCUUUUUUCCCCAAUGAUUGGUAACAUAAGUUAUUCCAUUCCUUAUACCAAGUGUCCUGUCUUGCAAUAAAUCCAGAACUUAGACUACCCUUCAGGUUUUGUUUGAUUUGGGAUGUCAUGGCCUAUAGGUAUCCAGCAAAACAUGCACAAAAGUUAUAACUUACAACUCUGUGUCCUUGUAUGAUUGACACAUCACUUUUGUUCAGGAUGAGCGAUAUUCCAAGUAUGUUGGGAAAAUGGCAAUUGUUCCUAUGACAUAUGGUCGUCAUGUUCCUAUCAUCUCUGAUAAGGUAAAAGCAUGUGUUUCUGUUUUUUUCUAAGUAUUGUUGCUUUCUCCAAAUUUUGUAUCAAUGUAUGAAUGCUAAUUUUUCCUUACUCUUUGUCACUCAAAUUGGUAGGAAUGCACAUGACAGAGGAAUUGAAACACAAUUUUUAAAGCAAAAAGUAUGUUGGAUUGUUUUAGCAUAAUAAAAUCAUAUCAUAUUAGUUGUAAAAGGUGUAGUACAUUUUGGAGUCUCUAAUGUCCAUUUCGUGCUUCAAAGAAAUUGAAAUGCACUGCCUUUCACAAGCUAUGGAAUAUCUGCCUUGCCUAAGGUUAUUUUGGUCAUCAUGAUGAAAUUGUGCUUCAAAUUUAGGAUGUAUUCCCUGCAUAACCUAUACGCUUCUUCAUUGUGGGCUUCGCCACUAGUUUUAGAAAACAAAUGGUUUGCUUGACCUGCUUAAUGGGGUUAGUUGAGGUGGCAAAUGUUUCAACUGUGUCCAUUAAAUUAAGAAAUUUCAGGUUGCAAUCUCAUUUCUGCUUUCUUUGUUAUGUCAAUGGUGGCAGUAUGUUGAUAAAGACUUUGGGACUGGUGUACUGAAGAUAAGCCCUGGACACGAUCAUAAUGAUUAUGUUCUAGCUAGAAGGCUUGGCCUUCCUAUUCUUAAUGUUAUGAACAAGGACGGGACAUUAAAUGAGGUUGCUGGACUGUACUGGUAAUAUUUGUGGACUUUCUGAACAAAUGCUAAAUUAAAGUUUACCGUUCAUCUUUUCUUUUGUCGUACUUAUGGUGGUGGCUCUUAAAUUUUAGUGGCCUUGAUCGGUUUGAGGCACGGAAGAAAUUGUGGUCUGAUCUUGAGGAGACUGACUUAGCUGUGAAAAUGGAACCCCACAGUUUAAGAGUACCGAGAUCUCAGCGUGGCGGAGAGGUGUGCAUGUUAUCUUUCAGUUAUAUUCUUUUUGUUUUUAAAGUUACAGUGUCGAUUAUUAUUCUCUCAGUAAUUCUUUCUCUUAUUUUCCCCUUUUAUGGUUCUUUUAUUAGGUAAUAGAGCCACUAGUAAGCAAGCAGUGGUUUGUAACAAUGCAGCCCUUAGCUGAAAAGGCUCUUCUUGCAGUUGAAAAGGGAGAAUUGACCAUUAUUCCUGAAAGAUUUGAGAAGGUAUGAUGGAAAGCAUAACUCUUGAUAUGGACUCUAACUUUACUCACCUCCUCACUUUCCCUUAACCUAUGCUGUUCUGCCUUAUCCAUGUUUCCUAAUUAAAGUACCUGCAUUUAAUGAUCAUGUCAACAUGUUUAAGCGGACACAAAUAAAAGGUAUGACCUUCUAAGCAUAAGGAAAAUUUUGGAAACAUGCAUGUUCCCAGGUAGGACACUAUCAUGUCCAAUGAUGGUACCAUUUUAGUCAUUUUCCAGUCUCCAUCUAGCUAACUCUCCCUCCCUGCUGAGAGGAUGGCCACAUUUUGUCAUUCUUCAUAGUGCAACACUCCUCAGCACAUGCUACUGUCAUCUGGGACCUUUCUUCCUAUUUAAUCGAUAUUUUACUUUAAGUUUACUGCUGUUGGCUAGGUUCUGCCUUUGCUCACUUCUGCUUAUUUUGAUGACAGAUUUAUAAUCAUUGGCUGACAAAUAUCAAGGAUUGGUGCAUAAGCAGACAGCUGUGGUGGGGACACCGCAUACCUGUUUGGUACAUUGUUGGAAAAGACUGUGAAGAGGAAUACAUAGUUGCUAGGAGUGCUGAGGAAGCUCUUAUGAAGGCUCGUGAUAAAUACGGAAAAGAAGUAGAAGUUUAUCAGGAUCCAGAUGUUCUUGACACUUGGUUCUCAAGGUUGGUUAUUCAAUUUUAAACUCCUUAACUAUGAUAUCAUCAUUUUAGGAUGGAAAGUCAUUCUUUACCUAGAGAUUCUCCCUCUUUUUUGGUACAUAAUUAGCUUUCUUCUCUAACUGAUUGGAUGGGAUGAUAUUGUAUUACAAGCUAGAGUUCACAACCAGUCUUUGUCAAUUCUAUUUUUGAUGUCCCUUUGGUUUUAUUUUCUUAUUAUGUCGUGUUUAUGUUAGGGGAUCUGAUUAGGAUACUGAUUUUGUGGGGAUUUGGUUCUAAUUUUUAUUUCCUAAAAUUUCCUUAUUAGUUUAAAUAAAACUUUCCUGAUAAAUUAGGAUAUUCUGAUGUCAUAUUUUUAUUUUCCGUAUUAGAAUAAGAAAGUAGGGUUUUGCAUCUUAGUUCCUAAAUUAUAAACCUCUUUAUGAGAGAAAAAUUAUUCAUGAAUAAAAUAAGUUGAAUGUUUCAGCAAAUCAAAGGUAGGCAACUCCUUUUGAGUUCCACAACCAUAGGCAAAAAUAUGAAUCAAAAUAAGGGAAAAGACCCUUCUUCGGAUUGAAUUCUUGCGCUACUCGUCUGGUGCCUCAAACCCAGACUCGGGUCCAUAAUAGUUUAUUUCUGUUAUCACCUUUUCAAGUAAAUAAAGGAUCUUCAAAUAAACCUGAGGUGGUAUUUGUAUUGUAAUCUUUAACUAAUGUAAUAACAGUGUUUAGAUGAUGCAAUAUUUUCAAGCUAUCAAUCAAAUAAGUGCACCUGUUUUUUUCCUUUUUCGUGUAUGUAAGUUAUUGAUUAGAUAUGAAGAACUAUUCCAAAAAAUCUGCUGACAUGUCCAAAAUGAAAAAGGAUAAAUCAUGUUUUGAGUCUUUGAGAUCACAUAGAAUAAAGCAAGUAAUAUUUUGAAAUUGUCAUCCAAAUGAAGCUAUUAUAUUAAUGUUGUCACUUAACUUUCUUGCAUAAUUAUAAAAGGAAAAAAAAUUCUCUGUAAGUGGUAGGAUUUCCUGUCACUUCAAUCUUCCUAAGUUGAAAUUUCACUUACAUCCUGACCUGUUAGUACCUGGUAGGAAAGUUCUGAUGGUUUUUUGAGAGGUCCAAGGUUGAGUCCAAAUAUGUUUGAUAUCUAACUCUGGUGCAAAAAGUAUUGAGGCAACCAUGUUGAUUAUUUGAAACAUUUUUGUGUAAGUGGCUGAAAGCACUUUAUUGUGAUAAAUGAGUUCAUUUGCUGGGUUGAGUAAUGCAAUAACUGGUAGAAAAUGGCGUAAGUUGCUUUUUUCAGCCAUCUUCUUCAACUUGAGUUUUAAAGGUUUUGAUAUGGUUCUCCCAUUCUCUGGAAAUGAAACUUGUCAUGCACACAUCAAUCUUUGUUUGUGUGAUAAAUGCUAUAUAUUUUGCUGCUUGCUCUCUUUCAGUGCAUUAUGGCCUUUCAGUACUCUUGGGUGGCCAGAUGAGUUGGCAGAGGAUUUUAAAAGGUUUUAUCCGACAACAAUGCUUGAAACUGGGUAUGAGCCACUUUGUUUAACUCCUAUUGCUUAGAUGAGGUGCCCUAUUCUUUUCCAUAAGAGAGUGCUUCUAUUAUUAUUCAAUAACAAAUUAGAGGGCAUUAUAGCAUACUUGGUCUCAAGAAAUUCCAUUUGAUCUACUUUUCUAUUUUUUAACUGUUGGCCUUAACACUUUUUCACUUUGGACAGCCAUGAUAUAUUGUUCUUUUGGGUUGCAAGAAUGGUCAUGAUGGGAAUCGAAUUCACAGGAACUGUUCCAUUUUCAUAUGUAUAUCUUCAUGGUCUAAUCCGUGAUUCACAAGUAAGUAGAGUGUCUGAAUCAGGCUACAACUUAGGUGCCCAUUUUAAAGUACAAUUUUUUUUCUCGAGUUGUGUUCCCCUUCAUCUGCAUCUAUACUUUUGUCAUUAGAGUUCCUUUUCAAAAUAACAUGACACUAGUUCCAUUGCUCCCAAGACUCAAGAAAAUAUCUGCCUAACAUGUAAGUUGUUUCAGGGGCGUAAAAUGUCUAAAACUCUUGGCAAUGUUAUUGAUCCACUUGAUACUAUCAAGGAGUUUGGCACUGAUGCCUUGCGAUUCACUCUUGCUUUGGGAACUUCUGGUCAGGUUUGUCUUGUACUACAGGCAAGAUGUUGGUAAUUCAAUAAUGAAAAGUUGUGUCACAUAAUGUUCACUACUGUUCUAAUGUCCAUGGUUCUAGCUUAUGAUAGUAUGUCUAAUUAGCCAAUUUCCUUGAAUAAUCUCUAGGAUCUUAAUUUAUCUACUGAAAGGCUAACAGCGAACAAGGCCUUCACAAACAAAUUAUGGAAUGCUGGCAAGUUUGUGCUGCAGGUUCUGCCUAAUCGGGAUAAUGUUUCUGGUUGGCAGAAUAUAGAGGCUUGUAAGGUUUGUUCCUCUUUUCUCAGAUUAGUGGAAUAGUAUUAGACCACCUGUCUGUCCUUGUCUUCAUACAACAGUAUGCAUUUACUACCAUAUCAUUUUUAACAUAAAUCAAAAGGAACAAGCACAUAUAUAUUAUUAAUUAUUGGAUAGGUGGAGUAUUCACUGUGUUUAUUGAUUAUACUAUCAACAGUAUUAAUCUGAGUUAUGCUUGCAUUUGUAACUAUUAUUAUUGCUCUCAGAAGAAAAAGAAAUCUAUUAUUAUUGCAUAGGGUGUAACUUAAUUUUCUUUUGACAUCAUCACAAUGUCCUGUUCCUAAGAAGAUUGGCAUCAUCCUAAUCAGUAAACUUUCCUUCUCAGUUUAACACGGAGGGGUAUCUUCUAAGGCUUCCUCUUCCAGAAUGUUGGGUGGUAAGAAAAAAAUACUGUGCUUGUUUUGCCACCAUCUAUUUAUUUGUAUACUUGAGCCAAGUUACCUCCAUUCAUACAUACCCUGAUUAUUCUUUUUCUGAAAGAUACAGAAGUUACUUGAGUACUGUUGUUCACUUUUCAGGUCUCAAAACUGCAUAUGCUAAUUGAUGCUGUAACUGAGAGUUAUAACAAAUUUUUCUUUGGGGACGUUGGGAGAGAAAUAUAUGAUUUCUUUUGGGGUGAUUUUGCCGACUGGUAUGUUGAAUGUUCUUUUAUAAUCUGCUUUCUGCUAAUAGAACGUAGUUCUAUUGUUUUAUGCCAUUAAGGUCUGGAUUUUAUGCCAUUUACAGAUCAUGAAAACAGAAAAGUAAUGAAGUUUAUGCUGUUGUUAUAUAGCACAUAAUGCCCUUUUUUUCUAAGGUUAAAGUUGUAAAAUUCAUUUGGUGGAUAGUGUGUGUUAUUUUAUUGUUAUCAUUACUAGAAUUCUAUUGUAAGUUGGAUCAGUAUGUGCUGUUGACACAUACAUGAAAUACCUGUCAUGGUCGUAUGUUUUUUGCAAAAAUACUGGUAUAAUUUUUACUCUGAUUAGCUGUAGUUAUUUUUGUGUUAUAUGUCCAGUUUUUAGAUCUGCAACCCAUGCUUGGGAUUUAUGUUUUUGUUGUUUUCAUAGGUAUAUUGAAGCCAGUAAAGCUCGCAUUUACCACUCUGGAGAUGAUUCAGUUGCUUUAGUAGCUCAGACAGUUCUACUCUACGUUUUCGAGAAUAUACUGAAAUUAUUACAUCCAUUCAUGCCAUUCGUAACUGAGGAACUGUGGCAGGUGUGGGCUUUGUAGUGUUUACCACGUUUUUUGUUAAUAUAAUUUUUAUAAUUUAAACUCAUUUAGUUUACCAUAUUCUUGAAUCUGAUCAUUCAUGUUAAUAUGAAGUUUGGAUAAAAUCUGCUGGAACACAAUUUCCAUUGAUGAGCACCUUAUCAAGUCUAGAUUUAAUGUGCACACUUGACUUUGCACAUGCACAUGUACUUAAGUGAAUUUUGGGUUCACAUUACAGCAUACAUGAAUAGUGCUUCCUACAAGAAAUGAUAUGUUUUCUUUUCUUUUAUUGUUGUAGGCAUCCCCUAAGGUUUUCUGUAGAUGUAACUAUGGAUUUUUCUUUUAUUUUAUUUAUCUUCAGGCACUUCCCAAUCGGAGAGAAGCUCUUAUAAUAUCUUCCUGGCCACAAACUGCUCUUCCCAGGAGUACUGAUUUGGUAAAAAGAUUUGAAAAUUUACAAGCUCUGGUGAGUUUAUAGAACUCUUCUUUUUUCCUCUACAUUCGCCACCAAAUACUCUUCAACCCAAGGUAAGGGAAUCGCUAACCUCUGAUAAUUUAUGUGCUAGACUCGAGCAAUCCGUAAUGCUAGAGCUGAGUAUUCUGUUGAGCCAGCAAAGCGCAUAACUGCUUCUAUUGUUGGUAGUGAAGAAGUCAUUCAGUAUAUAUCUGUAAGUGUAGUUUGUUUCUUUAGGGAUUGUCUUAUUAAUUAUAAAGAAAAAUGAAUGGCACCGUUUUGUUUCUUUUCUUGAUUGUGCCAUCUUUCGAUGCAUAAUAUAUACUUGUAAAUAUACUACCACAGGCUGUUGUAAAGUCUGGCGGAAAAAGGAAUGGCUGAAUGAACAAUGCUAAUGUCUUAAGUAUCUGUAUUCUUAGCAUGUCCUCAAAUCAAUGUUGAUAGGUUGUAUCCUCUUGAUGCAGGAAGAGAAGGAGGUUUUGGCUCUCUUAUCCAAGCUAGAUUUAGGCAAUAUUCAUUUCGCUGAUUCUCCUCCAGGCAUGUUUACUUUGAACCAUAUAUGCUUUGGUUCUAGGACAAAGAAAUGCUUUGCAUAUUCAUUUCACUAAUAGUACUUCCUAUUGACUCUCUUUGAUAUAUGAAAUGUUGGACAUCNNNNNNNNNNNNNNNNNNNNNNNNNNNNNNNNNNNNNNNNNNNNNNNNNNNNNNNNNNNNNNNNNNNNNNNNNNNNNNNNNNNNNNNNNNNNNNNNNNNNAGUGAAGGACUGGAGGCAUAUCUUCCCCUUGCUGAUAUGGUUGAUAUUUCUGCUGAAGUGCAACGCCUUACCAAGCGCCUAUUAAAGAUGCAAACGGAAUAUGAGGGACUUAAAGCUCGACUCAACUCUCCUAAAGUAUGAACUUUACUUUGUCAUUGAUGUAGAUGCACUAAUAUUACACAUUACUUUGGCAUAAAUGUAAUAGUGACCACCAUGCUUAAGCUUUUCAAACAUGACUGAAUGUACGGAUUAAAAUAGGAUAAAAACAAGGCACGGAACUUAAAAACAACACUACUUUGUAGUAGUCAGAGUUUCAUGGAGAGGAUUCCUGAAUAUGUUCGCUAUGGCAUUUUGUUUAUUAUGUGUCAACUUUAGUGGGGGCACUUACCCAGAGAACAUAAAAUUAACUUUAGGGAGAAGCUCAAACUGUUGUUUUUUUAAAAUCAUUUGGGAAAGUUUAUGUGCUAUAAAGCAUUUGGAAAAGUUUGGCGUACUUCAAUUUGGUGUAUCAUGAGAACUGGCCAUUGUUCGUUGUCAACAUUGCUACGAAAGUUAACUGAUAGUUCACUGUUUACUUUCAUAAGUCUUCUUAGGAUGUGUCAACUGAUGGCCUUUUCUUCUCCAACAAGCUUCAUAUUCUCCUAUGCUUGUUGAUGCCUGCAAUUGCUUACAAGCCUCUUACAAUCUAUAAUAUGUGUUCACUGCAGUUCAUAGAGAAAGCUCCCAAGGAUGUUGUCCGUGGGGUUCAGGAAAAAGCAGCAGAAGCAGAAGAGAAGAUUAAUCUGACCAAAAACCAAUUGGCUUUCCUGAAAUCAACUGUUAUGCUUUCGCAAUAGGCUCCAUAUUUGGUCAUAAUUUCAGUCUUAGCAAAGCUACACGUCCUGUUGGGAUGAUCUGCACUGUUUACUCAUAUAUGUCACUAUAAUAAUAAUAAUAAUAAUAAAAGAAAUGUAGAAAAAAAAUGAAAAAAGUCCCAGAUAGCAUCUACAUAGUAAAAAAACGGAGGAAGAGAAAAUAAUAAUAAUAAUAAUGGAAAAAGCUGCAUAUAUUAGGAUAAUAAUAAAUAGCCGUUAGCAUGGUAGCAAAUCAGUGAAAUCACAUUUUCAGCAACACUCAAUCAUUACUAAAUGCCGAAGGAUAUGAAAUGCCCACUAAUAUCACAUUAAAUUGAUAUCCACAAAUUUAUAAUUCUUUUCUCAUUUGAGCUAAACUUUGUACAUAAACCACAUGUCAUUUUGGAAGUGAAGUCAAUAGUUAAACAAUGAAGGUAAUCAAUUUAACAAAAAUGAUGGUUCACCUCUCUGACUUGUGCAAUCAAUAAACAUUUCUAGUGAAUUUGAAAUUAAUGAAAAAAUAACAUAUAAAUCAAAUGUUAUUCAAACAUUGAAAUCUGAAGGACUUUGUUUUCUCCUUUCUGCAAAACAUAUUUCUUCCAGUAAAAAUUGUUAUAGGGAAGAAAAGAAUUAUUUAACUAAUGAUGCCUUUAUUCUAUAUGGUGAUAGAGGUCACAAAGAUCAACACCUCAAGCAAGCAUUGUGCAAAACGUAAAUGCUCAUACAUCAAGGUUUCAACAGAACUUUUUUCAAUGGCCUUUUCCUGAUGAUAGAGAAAACGCUUAUAUUAGUUAACUGUUGAAAUCCCAUAUUCAGUUCCACUACUGGAAACUUACAAAGAGCCUAUUCAAUCACCUUUAAAAUGUCAAGCUAAAUAAACAUAUCAUCAGUUACUACUGUUUGUGAAGUAAAAAGAUUUCAAACCAAGUACUAAUGAAAGCAGCUCGAUAUGAAUAGUAUGAUGAUUACUUUGUAGUUUAGUUUCAAUUUAUAUUUACGGAAAAUUCAGUUUUGAUACUUUGUUUUUGUAAAUUGUGUCGUAAAUAUUAUUAUUAAAUAUUUAAUAACAAUCUCUUCAGCUCAAUAAAAUAUUAUUUAUAUUCUGCUACGUGCGCAGUCAUUAAUGGGUAUUUUUUUUUGUUUACUUCAUUCUUCGAGCUCCCGAAUUCAACCCGGUCGGGAAAAUGGAUUUCUAUUAAGUUUAAUUUUUUUUUGAAAGAUCUGUUAAGUUUAUUUAAAACUCUUUCAAGACACAAGCACAACCAAUCCAUGUCCAGAUCUGAUCUGAAAUCUGAAUACAUCGGUAAGUAGGUAGUAUAUCAAAGUUCUACUCUGCCUGUAUUUUGUAAAGAAUAUGCAUGCAUUUUUCAAGCAAUGACGUAAUUUAGGCUUAUUUUUGUGUGUGUUUAGGUUAGAACUGAUGGGAUCCGGUGGGAGCAAGGGUUCUUGCAGGGGAGGAGCUUCCUCGUCGAGUGGUGGGAGGAAGGGAAGAUCUAUUGGAAAGAAUAGAGUUUUCCAAUCCUCUCGCCUGGGAGCGCCUUCUGGAUCUGCUGACUCCCACUUUGACCGUCAGGUCUUUCUCCAUUCUCUUGUCUCAUAUUUUCCCCUCUUCUUCUUCCUCUUCCUUGAAAAAGAAGUUCGCUUCUUCAGGUGGUUGUUGUUGAUCACCAUAAUAAAGACUACGGCUCUAAUUUCACCAACCAGAACAGGAGAGAACGGGAAUCUGAGUCGGAUCAAGUGAAAAGAGAAUGUUCCAGAAAGGUUAAAGCUGAAUCGGCAUCUGAUUAUGAAAUGCCACUGCCAUGCAUAUCUUCCAAUGGUGUAGAUAUAGAUGCCUCGAGAAGUGGUAGCAGCUCUGGCAGAGCCACCACAGCAGUGCAUCACUCUCCUUCUCGCUGCCUCUCUGGCUUUAGCUUCUUUUCGGGUAACAUUAGCUUCGCAGAGCUAAUAGUUUGGGUUCGUCUAGGGCAUAUCCUGUUUCUCCUCCAAGUCUUGCAAUAUUGAACCGUGAUGACAACUUCGAGACACUUGAACAUCGACAACUUUCCCCAAAUUCUUCUUCUAUAAACUUAUAUUCUCCCUUAACCUUCAAUGAUUCAGACACAGAUAGAGAUGAAAUUGGUGGGUCAAGUUCAAAUGGUCGUAACCAAGACGAUUCUCUGAUCAAACAUGGUGAAUACUGGGCUCAACAUGAUGAACUACAUGGUGCUUGUUUUAAUGCCUCAGAAGUGACCACUGGAAAAACUAAUGAUAAUACAAAUGAUGGCAUAGUUGAGAUUUCCGAUGAUGGAAGGUUGGAUAAGAUGGAAUUUUUAUCUAACAUCUGGGAACAUGUUGAAUCUGAUGACUUUAUGGAACGUGUGUGUCAAGGUUUAGAUUCUCGACCCUCUUCCCUUGGUGGAAAUCAGGCGAUGUUAAUUCAGCUCCCAUCUCAUAUUCUACCAUUAAACCAUGAUCCCUUGAUCUUACCAGCUGGGAGAGUCGGUGAUCAUGUUGAUAAUGAUCACCAUGCAGUUCGACCAUUAAACCAUGAUCCCUUGAUCUCAUCAGCUAGGAGAGUUGGUGAUCAUGUUGAUAGCGAUCACCAUGGACUUUGUGUACCAGAAAAUAUGGAGGAUUCUCAGAAAGUGUAAUGUUUUCACCAGCUCAGAAUCCCUUAUGAACAAUUUGCUGACAGGGUUGACCAACUACCCAAAUCCCAAGAUAGCUCAAAAGGGGAGAGGCAAGUUUCACAUUACUUUCUUAGCUGUGGGAUUUAUUGAAUUCAGGAAUAGAGAAACAUUCCCAGAUGAGACUGAAGCCUGUAAACACUGCAACUGUAGAAGAUCCAGAUGUUUGAAACUGUAAGUUCACAUGCGAGACAGAACAUUUCACUUGAGUAAUAUGUUACUCGGACUUGGUUUAAGCAUAUACUCGAGAUCGGUAUGUUUCAUUUUCUUUUAAGUUUUCUUCAUGUAUUUAGAAGAUGUUUGGAACAUCAUACCCUGAAUGUUCAGAGGGUGCUCAAAAAUAGUGAAGAUGUUUAGAACAUCUGUUGAGUUUUGUUGUUUGUUGUGAUUGGCAGUUAUUGUGAGUGCUUUGCAGCAGGGAUUUGCUGCAAGGAUUAUUGUGCAUGUGAUAACUGUUUGAACAAGCCAGAUUAUGAGGAUAUUGUUCUUGAUAUUCGACUUCAAAUUGAAUUGCUUAACCCUCUCGCAUUUGCUCCACCUAUUGUUAACCCACCUAAUGAUUCCCCUAAUGUUACUGUAAUUAUAAAUUCUAUAAUCCUACACUUUUUACCCUUUAAAUUUGUGUAAUUUCAUAAGUGUUUGACAAGAUGAACACACCAUCAGCCAAGCACAAAAGUGGAUGCAAAUGCAAGAGGUCAAAAUGCCUAAAAUAGUAUUGCGAGUGCUAUUGGGUAUGUUUUAACUUUUUAGCUCCAUGUUACUUAUGUUGCUCCCAAUUUCCUUUUUUAUUUUUAAGAACUUGUAUUCAAGAUCCAUGUGUAAUAUACACCUGGACAUAGAUAUGUUAUACGACUCUCCAAGUAUAUAAAAAAAACUCUUUAAAUUAUUGAACAAAUCAGUGUUAGAUUGCAAAUCCUUUUCAAGUUUGAAAGAUCAACAUAAGCUUUUGAUUGUUUGUUGAGUAAAUUCAUUUAUGGUUUUUGUUGGGUAUUUUUUUUAUUGUUGCUUUUGAUUGUUUGUAGGACUGGUAGGAGGCGGAAAAAUCCGGUUUUCUAUUGCCAUAGACUCGGUAAUCCUCUCUAUCCUGUUUGCUAAUGUUUGAUUGAAUGAAACUUGAACUUUUUUUUAACUAGUAAAAUUUCAAUGUACAGAAAAAUAAAAAAAAAGUAGUGAAGUAUAAACAAAAUCCAAGUAAGCAUACUUGCAUUGUAUGAUUAGUAUUUCUUUCAAAUAUUGUUGGAUAUCUAGCUGGGAGUUGUCUCUAGCUUGGAAUGGAGUACAAUCAAGAAGUUUGGAGCUUAAUAUGUUUUUGUUUAAUAUGCUAUUCUAAUAUCCGCAAGAACAUGAAAUUUUGUCUAGAAAUUUUGUUAAACAUGUCUUCUUAUUUCUUAAGAAGGUGCAAGGAAGUUUCCUCUAAUAACAACAAAGUACCAGAAAAUAUUAUGACUGAUAGGUAGAACUUGUAUGGUCAAGGGCACAAGGCGCAUUCUAGGUGCUAAAAUUCUUUUAUUUCCUGAGGUGCAGGGGCAAAAAAUUAAAAAAAAGAGCUUGCCUAAGUGCAGUAAGGCAAAAGAUAUAUGUGUCUAUCCAUUUAUAUACCAAGGUUAAUAAAUAUAGUUAUGAUAAUAAACUCUAAAUUGUGAUCCAGCUUAUCUACAAAACGUGCAAAUUUUUUUUUUCAUUAAUAGACCAAGCUGCACGAUUUCCUUAUGAUCCCAUAUUGUUCUUGCCUGUUGUUGGAUAUUCGAAUAUUAUGCACAUUAAUUCAAAAAAAAAAAAAGAAACCUAAUUGAACUUGAAGGAGUUGGGUUUUUGUUUUGCACCUAUCGCCUUACAUUAAAGUGUAUCUAGAUGCACCAGGGGUGCAUGUGUGAUCAGAUGUACUUUUCCCUAAAGGGUCUAGGGUGCUUUUAUAAUUUGGCUCUAAGGUGCAAUUGCUAGGCAUACACCUUGACAUUGAAGGUUGCAAUGUCUUGGUUGAUGCUCAUUACUAUGUUCUAAAUUGUAUUGAAUUUUGAGUUGCCACUUAUGGAGAUAGGAUGGCCCAGAGCUUAAAAAAUAGUAAAGCCUAUGUUCAUUUAUUUCUGCAUGCUUGUUAUUAAGUUGAUCUUGCAUGGUUCUUUUAUUAUAGUACAAAAAUGUCUAAUCACUGAAUGCAAUUUGGAUUGAACUAGACUUGAAAGUUGUUAAUAGGAAGAUUGAUUAACUUUUCUACUUGAGAAGAUUCUCCUUAGCUCAAUUGCUACCUUUACGGGACUUUAAGUCUUUAAUAAUGAUAAAUUUAAAUUUAAAUAUGGAAAUUCUUGUUAGAAAAGGGUUAAGAAAUUAACCGCCCUCCUCUACACUGGGUUAAAUAGAAGAGAUUUUUGUAACUUUAGAAACCUACUAUUAUGAAAUUAGUUUUCAGUCCAGUUUACGCUGAACGCAUGCUAUUAGAAUUUCCACCUCCAAUUUUCUACCUUAAAUGGUAUUCUUCUUUUUCUGAUUGUAUUGCAUUCUUCUAUUUCUACCAGGUAGAUGAAAUGUUGUAUAGAUUGUAAGAGACUCAUUUCAGGUAUCAAUCUCUGUUUUAGUUUCAGAUCCAUGCUUCUUUACUUGUAUUUCAGUGGGUUUUUCUUAGGGUUUUUGGUUUUCUGCUUUAGAUAUCGCUGUUCGUUCUUGUUCUUCUUUUUUGUUUGUUUAUCGUCUAUUAUAUGUUGUUCUUUAUUUUUGGAUUGUUUAUUUCCCUCUGUUUAAUAUUAUAGCUUUUGUGUUAUUGUCUAUUUCUUUUAAAUCUUUGCUUAGCAGAAUACUAAUUGCCUAAACAAAAAGCAUCCGUAUGUACAUUGUUUACUGCAUCUGUAGAGUUUAUUUGGUGGUUUUUUCUGGAUGGUAAUAACAUGUCUUUUUAAUUCGUAGUGAGUUGUGACAUUCUGUUUCUUAGUUUUCUAAAAAAAUCGUACUUUAGUUUUUAAAAAAAUAAUAAUCUAAUUAGGGUGCUUGUUAAUAUUGAUAGUAAUUGAAGAAUUGGAGAAUUUCAACCGAUUUGCUAAUUGCAAAGGUUUUUGUCGAUUUGGGUUCCGUGAUCAUAUACGGUGGAGAUUGUCAUGAUUCUUGUAUGCAUAUAUGUUUUCUUUUUCAUACUGCUAGGUGGUUGCAUUCAUCGGUAAGGAUUGGGUAUAUUUUCUUUAAAAUAGUUGGGGAUUGUUCGUGUUCUGCUGGGUAUAUAUUUAUUAUCUAUAAGCAUUAUUGAAUAAAUUUUAGAAGAUUUUUUUUUUUAUAAAUUUGAAAGAAAAUUUAUUGUAAUUAUUAUAAAAUUGGUUUCUUUAAUAAGCCCUGAAUUUAUUUUCAUUCUCAUUCUGAUUCAAGGAUAUCCCUCUCAUAUCCCGUCGCAGGAUAAGCUGUUCCAAGAUUAUCCCCAUGAUAUCCCGUCCCGGUUCAGCAGUUUUGGUGGCCGGUUCAGCAGUUUUGGUGGCCGGUUCAAUUUUUAACGUGUUUGGACCGGGUUACCUGACGUAGUUAUUCCAGUCAGGGAUAUCCUAUUCUAGGGAUAUCCCGCCUUGGGAUAUCCCAUUAUAGGGAUAUCCCGGCUUGGGGUCUAGGGGUUUGAAGCUUGGGGCUUGGGUUUAGGGUUGGGCUGGUGUUUUUGGGCUUUUGUUUAAGUGUUUUGGGCUUUGGAUCUCUUAGGUUUUGGAUUACUGGGUUUUGGACUACAUCGGAUAGUGAUUUCAGGGACCAAAAUAUAUACCCAAAAUUUAUUAGCCUUGUCAAUUAUUAAAAAAGAAUUGAGGAUGAGGGUUCUUUUUAAUUGAAAUGGGCUUUUUUAUAAUAAAUCCAACAAGCCAACUCUAGGCCAUUGAUGACUUUAAUCCAACAAACCAAAUGGACCGUCUGAAUGAGGGGAAGAAAAUAAGGAAGCCAGCCACUAAGAAAUGAAGCUUCUCUCUCCUUUGGAUUUAUGAAUAACCUCGAUUCCGGCAAUAAAACUCCACCGUUUCUUUCUAUCUUCGUUUGUUGGGUUUUGGCUCAGAUUGACUCCCGGUAAGAAUUUUUGCCUUUGUUUCACAGUUCGACUCCUUAUUUCUCUUCUCCUAAAGAUUCUUCUCAUUUGAAUCUUUGCCAUUAUCGUUUUUACACAACUUUUGGUUUGGAAUUACGGGUCGAUCAUUGGAAUCUUUGCCAUUGUCUGUUUUGGAUUGUGCUGUGUUAAAUUGUGUGGGUUUGGGGUGUUGUUGGUUCAGGUUUGUAGUCUUUGGUCUGACCAAAGUAAAGUCUUUUCUUUCCUUUCCCUUUUAUCUCACUUAAGAUAAUGCUUUAAACUUUUUCGCCUGCCUUUCUUUCUAAUGUGACAGUCCAGAUAGCCUAAUAGUCUCGUGUAUAAAAAACUGCUUUCUAGUCUGAUGUGCUGCAAAAGAAAAAUCUCUGAUUGGCUGGAUUAUAAGUACUGUGAAACCAGUAUCCCAAUUGUUAAGUCAACCAUCAGUAAAUCGGCGCAUAUGAAUGACUUUAAUUAAAUAAUUCCCUGUGAAACUCUACAAUAAUUAGUUUAAUCGAUCUGUCCUUGGGAUAUGUAGUACUCUUCCUGUCCAUAUAUAACUGUUUUUAGUUGGUAUCUUUCUUGCCCUGUUUUUAGUUAGAGUGUUUGUGUUUGUGAGAUAGAAACUAACAAAUUGAGCCCACUUUCCUUUUUAAGCCAUUGGUUAAUGACUUCGGUUUAUAUCGUAUUAGUUUGCAUGAAUUUGAUUCUUUGAAUAACCUUCGUGUGGUGUCUUGGGUUUAAUUCUAAAUUUUCCGAAUUAUUAAUGGUUGAUGUGGAAAUUUGAUUAGGACAAUGUGAAAAAGUUAUGCUCUAAUUUUCUGAACUGUCAAGAUAUAGGUAUGUUAGGGGAAGCCUACUCUCUGUUUACUGGUAAGUUUAAUCUUGAGUGUUAUAUGAGGUUGAUAUCUUUAAUCUACAGUUUAUAUAUAUUUAAGGUCAGGGAAUAGCUGUUUCCAAUUACUUGAACACUUGGCUGUUUUGAUUUAAUCUACAGUUAAUAUAUAUUUAAGGCCACUUUCCUGAUACAAGUGUUGUUUGAUUUUCUUUUUUAAAGGAAAAAUACAGUUUGUAUGGCGUUAUUGUGUGUUUUCAAAUAGAAUAGAAAGUAAGAGACUUUGGGAUCAAUUAACAUCAAUUUUAACUAGAAGAACAUGGUCAUAUUUGGAGUGAAAAUUCUUGCAUUUUAUCUGGUGCUAAGGUGGUGCAUUUUUGUCUUUGGUUUUCUUUUCACACUGGUAGGUGCUUUCACUCAUCCGUAAGGAUCGGGGUGGGUUUUCUUUAAAAUAGUUGAGUGGAGGUCAUCGAUGAACUUAGUUGGAACUGUUUGUGUGCUGGUGCUUAUAUGAUUUGGAAUUAGAUUUUGAUUGAAAUAUUCGGGUAAUAUCUAAAUGCAUGGCCUGGAUGGAAUUGGGGUUGCAAUUUAACUGAAAAUGUUGUUUUAUAUUACAAAGUAGUUACAAGUGUUUAUUGUGUUGCAUUAGAAGAUGUUACUAGGUGUUGUUUUCUUUCUUAUGAAGAACGCAGUAUAUUUGCAUUUUUUGAUCUUACAAUGAGAGUUUUCUUUCAAAGUUUCAUAUUUGAAUCGUAAUACUAAUUUAUUUUUCAAAAAAUCCAAAUUACUCAUCUUUCGCUUUGGUAUUGUUAAUUAUGUAGAGAACGAAGGUUUCUCUUUUGUGGACGUCGGCCAUUCAUAUCAACCCAAGGUAUCUCUCUACAAUCUCAUGGUUUUGUUUGCAGUAACAUUGAUGCGUUUGUUUUAUUUGAUUGUUGUUUUCUAAAUUGUCAAAAUUAAAGUAAAUUUUCUUUGGAUCGAAUUUAAUUUUCAUUGGGCCUGUGUGCCCAUUGGUUUUUUGCGACUUGUGAUAGUUGUCCUGUUUUUUUGGGCUGUUAUAAUGGUCAUGGUUUUCGGGUUUCUGUUUAGUUCCCGUGGCUUGUGAUACUGAGCAUGUUUUCAUAGUUUAUUCUCUCCUCAUUUUCCUUUUUUUCUAACAUUUCUUUCCCUUUUUUUCUCUCCUUUAUUAUGUCUGUCUCAUUUCAAAUUUUACCUCUUAUAUUUUUUAGGCCCGAAAGAAUUCAAAGACACUAUAUUGUGAUUCUCUCCACCGUUUCUGUUUUUGGGAUUUUUGGACUCCCUUGCUUAAUCAGGUAUGAAUCUUUUCUCCAACAUUGUCGUUUCCGUUCUCCCUUUUAGGAACUAUGCUUUUGUACUUGUAUUUUUUGGUUUAUUUUAUGGCUUUUGGUUUUCAGUUUUAGAAAUCAACAAUAAAAAAAAGUUUGUCAAUUACUUAGUGGGAAGCAAAAAAUCUGAAAUUGUAUUGGGAAUUUUCUCUUUUCAUUUUUUUCAUUAAUAUUACAAUAAAUUAAACUAACCAGUUGGCAAUAAAUGACCAGCUUAUUCCCAUAUUCUGUCCUAUUUUUCCUUUAUUUCUAACGUUCCUUUCUCCUUUUUUAGCUACUCUUUUUCCAUUCUUUACAAAUAUUUUCCUUCUCUCUUGUUUUUUCUUCUCUCAGCCUUUUUUCCUGUGUUUUCUUCAAUCUAUUGCUCUCCCAUUUAUUCCCCGUCUCUCUCUCUCUCUCUCUCUCAAUAUCCUUUCAAUUUUUUCCUCAAAUUUUUUAGCUUCAGGUAACCAAAUUUCAGUUUUUUUUUUUGCUGUUUCUAUUUUUUUUUUCUGUUUCUAUUUUUUGUAAUUUUUGAAACUCCCUACAUCAUUGGAAAUUGAUUUCAGGUAUGAAUAUAAUUAAACUGUCUCUUUCCUCAUUACCUCUGAUUUUAGUUUCAGAUAUAUGCUUAUAUUUACUAAUAUUUUCAAUUUGUUUUUUUCAGGGAUUUCGGUAUUUUAACAGUAAUAGUUUUUUAACAAUGUUAGUAAGUUUAGGUUUUAUUAUCUAUUAAAAAUAUAUAAAACUAAUUGACCCAACGUUAGUUCUAUUGUUUUCCUGUUAUAAUCUGCUUUCUGCUAAUAGAACGUAGUUCUAUUGUUUUAUGCCAUUAAGGUCUGGAUUUUAUGCCAUUUACAGAUCAUGAAAACUGAAAAGUAAUGAAGUUUAUGCUGUUGUUAUAUAGCACAUAAUGCCCUUUUUUUCUAAGGUUAAAGUUGUAAAAUUCAUUUGGUGGAUAGUGUGUGUUAUUUUAUUGUUAUCAUUACUAGAAUUCUAGUGUAAGUUGGAUCAGUAUGUGCUGUUGACACAUACAUGAAAUACCUGUCAUGGUUGUAUGUUUUUUGCAAAAAAUACUGGUAUAAUUUUUACUCUGAUUAGCUGUAGUUAUUUUUGUGUUAUAUGUACAGUCUUUGGAUCUGCAACCCAUGCUUGGGAUUUAUGUUUUUGUUGUUUGCAUAGGUAUAUUGAAGCCAGUAAAGCUCGCAUUUACCACUCUGGAGAUGANNNNNNNNNNNNNNNNNNNNNNNNNNNNNNNNNNNNNNNNNNNNNNNNNNNNNNNNNNNNNNNNNNNNNNNNNNNNNNNNNNNNNNNNNNNNNNNNNNNNUCUACCUUUUCGAGAAUAUACUGAAAUUAUUACAUCCAUUCAAGCCAUUCGUAACUGAGGAACUGUGGCAGGUGUGGGCUUUGUAGUGUUUACCACGGCUUUUGUUAAUAUAAUUUUUAUAAUUUAAACUCAUUUAGUUUACCAUAUUCUUGAAUCUGGUCAUUCAUGCUAAUAUUAAGUCUGGAUAAAAUUCGCUGGAACACAAUUUCCAUUGAUACUUUGGACAUGCACAUAUACUUAAGUGAAUUUUGGGUUCACAUUACAGCAUACAUGAAUAGUGCUUCAUACAAGAAAUGAUAUUUUUUUCUUUUUUUUUAUUGUUUUAGGCAUCCCCUAAGGUUUUCUGCAGAUGUAACUGUGGAUUUUUCUUUUAUUUUAUUUAUCUUCAGGACUUCCCAAUCGGAGAGAAGCUCUUAUAAUAUCUUCGUGGCCACAAACUUCUCUUCCCAAGAGUACUGAUUUGGUAAAAAGAUUUGAAAAUUUACAAGCUUCGGUGAGUUUGUAGAACUCUUCUUUUUUCCUCUACAUUCGCCACCAAAUACUCUUCAACCCAAGGUGAGUCAUAAUUCCGCAAUAAUUUUUCAAUCAAUAAUACAAUCUAAAAUCGAAAUUGAAACCUCAAACCAAAACCGAAACUCAAAUAAAAACCCAAAUUGAAACCUAAUCCCAUACUUAAAGUACAACACUUAAUAAACCCAUUUAUUAGCCGUUUCUCUCUCUGUCUCUCUCUCUCUCUCUCGGUCUCCCUGUUUUUUUUUGUUUUUCUUCCUUAUUUAUUAGCCUUUUCUGCUUUCAUAAUAAAUCCUCAAAUAUUUUCUUCAAUCCAAAUCUCCUCCCAUUUCUUUACCGAUUCUCUCUCUCGGUCUCUUUUGAAUUUUUUUCCUCUCAUUUUUUAGCUUUGGGUAACCAAGGGCCAAAACACACACGCUACACUGUUUUUUGUGGUUCUUGAAAUCCCCUCCUUCAUCGGAGACUGAUUUUGAGGUAUGAAUCUUGAACUUUGUCUUUGUCUGUCUUUGCCUUUUCAUUUCUAUUUUGGUUUCAGAUCAAUUUUUUUUUUUACUUAUAUUUCAGUGGGUUUAUUUCUCUGCCGUUUCUUUGUUGCUAUUUUUGUAACCCCUGCUUCAUCGGAGGCUGAUUUCAGGUAUGAAUCCUUGCUUCAACAUUGUCUUCGGCUUUCUCUGUUUUAAUUUAAGAUUUAUGCUUUUUUACUUGUGUUUUUUUUUGUUUUUACUAUGUGUUUGAAAUUUAUUGAUGUGGUCAGUGAGUUACUUUGUGGUUGUUUUAUGCUAUAUCAGUUGGUUAUUUAUUAGGAUUUUCUAAAUAGGUGACCUAAAUUAAAAAAAAGUAGGUGAUUAAAAAAAAUGACAGAUACAUGAACAAAUAUUAUUAGGAUUUAAUUAUUGUUUUUUCAAUAAAAUUUACAAUCACCGAAAUGUUCUUUAUAUUAACUCCUUUAUAUUAAAUGAUAAACCAGGUCGGAUCCAAUUUAAUAUUUAUAAGAAUAUUUUUAGAAAUACUUUAAUUAAUUGUUUUGCAGAAAUUUAAAUAAUGCAUAUAUAAUCAUUUCAAUAGUUUUGCAUUCUUUAUAGAAAUGCGAAGUACCCACUAAACGAUCAAAACUGGCAUAUAGGAUUCCAGACUGGGACAUUCUGUUUCUUAGUUUUCUCAAAAAAUCUGUACUUUAGUUUUAAAAAAUAAUAAUAAUCUAAUUGGGAUGCUUGUUAAUAUAGAUAGUAAUUGAAGAAUUGGAGAAUUUCAACUGAUUUGCUAAUUGCAAAGGUUUUUUUUCGAUUUGGGUUUCAUGAUCAUAUACGGUGGAGAUUGUGAAGAUUUGUGUAUGCAUAUAUGUUUUCUUUUUCAUACUGCUAGGUGCUUGCAUUCAUUAGUAAGGAUUGGGUAUAUUUCCUUUAAAAUAGUUGGGAUUGUUCGUGUUCUGUUGGGUAUGAUUUGCAAAUGGAUUUUGAUUGGAAGUUUUAGGUAAACCCAUGGUAUCUCUGUAUAUCAGCUGAAUGGGAAGUUUUGUUUGAUUAUUGAUAUAUCCAUGUGGGGAGAUACUCGGAUUUUGGUUAAAGAUAGAAUUAUAUUCAUCUGUGUUACCUAGCCUUAUAUGAAGGGAAAUUGAGUUGUAAUCUUUUAAGUGAAUAGGUUCUAGUUGCAACCCUUAGAUUAACAUAAUUUUGAUUUGCUUAUUGGUUGAUGGUUAUUAUGAGACUGAAAAAAAGAUGCAUUGGAUAUAUUCUCUAAUGAUGUCAUAACCAAUUUCUUCUUCAUUUAUUGUCUUAGUUGAUUUCUCAAUGCAUUCUGGUUCGGAACAAUUGUUCUUUUCCUUUUGAUUUUUUUGUUUAGUGUUUUUAGGGUUUAUAUUUAUAGAGUGAAUGAUGAAAUAAAGAAGAGCCGAUUGUUUGUUUUGAGUUCUCACUUAACCCGUUUGCCUCUGGCAUCUUCCCUCAUGGCUUCGGAGAAAGAAGCUGCCCUUGCUGCUGCUCCCUCUGAUUCUCCUACCAUGUCAGCCCAGCCCUAUGUUUCUCCUUCUCCUUCUAUUCAUCAAUUUCUUCUUUUAGAAAAAAAAAAAAAGAAAUCUUUUUUUUAGAAUAAUUCUCGACAGUAAAUGUUCCUUCCCUUUUCACUUUGAUGUGAAUUACCGGGAUCAUUCCUUCUCAUUUACUUGUUUUUUUUUUUUUCAGAUUUGACAAAAUCAUCAACAAGGAAAUCCCAGCUACCGUGGUGUAUGAAGAUGAUAAGGUGCUGAUCUUUUUUCUUUUUACUUCUGAUUUUAAAUUCUGUGGAUUCUGUCACUGCUUAUUUUGUACGCUGGAAAGAUCUUUUAGAAAUCAGGCCUUUUUUUUCCUUCUUGAACUAUGGCUUGAUUCUUGCAACAGGUGAUGCUUAUUUUAUAUAUAUUUUUUCUAUUUGUUUCUUAAAACAAAUUUCCCUCAACCAAAUUCUGGUCGUGACCUGGAACUUGGUCUGGCUUUUAACAAUUCAAAAGGCACUACUUUUGACCUUUUCCAUUUUUAUCUUAAAAUGGAUAGAAAUGCAAACACCUCCUGCCCUUAUAAGUUGGAGAAGAUACGUCGUCCUUGUGCAUUUUGACAAGUAGCCCGCUAUUGGCCUAAAGUAAUGCUUGGAGACUUGUGGGGUGGCACAUUCUAAGUUAGAAUGAGAGAGUAGAGGUUCUUUUGUUUGUCUUAAGAGCUGUCUAUAUAAAGGGCUGUGUUUUUUAUUUUUGUUUAAUUUAUUUUCACUAGUGGUCUUGCUAAGGGUAAUAGAUGAGAAUUUGUUGGAAUUUUGAGGGAUGCUGAUUGUAUUUAAGAGGAUGGAUGCUAAGGAAUGAACGUGGAAGUGGCCAUAUGCCUUGAAAUUAUUGGGUUCAUUAAUUGGAUCAGUCAGCUGGUCAAAUUUUUUCAGGGAAAUGAGAUAGCAAAUGUAUUAGGUAAGGUUGGCAUUUGAAGGGAAGUAUUUUCUUUGCUUGAUGGUGAUAUUUGUUCUGUUUUAUUGAGUUCUCUGUGCGAUCAUUGGUAUUUCCAUGUCCUGGCGCUGUCUGUUCUUACUUGGUGUUCGAGUUUUGGUUGACUUGUGCUACUGAUGUUUUAAUUCUACAUAUUGGUUCUGAAAUGUCUUUGUCCUUUGUUUGCUUUUGUGAGUGUUGUCAGUUAUUAGUGAAAGUUGUCUUAACAAAAAAGGAAGAUAGCAGGAUUUUUCAUGUUCAAGUAAGAGUUAGAAAGAAUGCAAUUGGCUUCAUAAUUGUUAAUGGAAAGAGGUUAGCACUUCCAAGAGAAGUUAAGUGGACCACGUUUAAAAUUUUAGAUAAUUUUGAUGAUGAAAACUGGUGAAGGCCACUCAUUGAUAGAUUAGAGUUUAAGUAGCUUUCAGGAAUGCUAGCUGAAACUUUGGAACAUCAAUUCCAAAAUGAACAAAUGAAAAUGUUGUUGGCAUUAGCAAAAUCCUUAUUAUUUUAUUUCUUUCGUAACAAAGAAAUAUCAAUACUCACUGUUGCACUGAAAAAAAUUUUAUUUAGCUUUGAAUUUUGCUUCCAUUGGCCGAAAGCUUUAAAGCUAUCACUUCUGGUAAAGAUUUUACAAUAAUCCUUAUUAUUUUUUUAGCCAAACUUAUGUAGCAACUGCUUGUGGGCCCUACUUCAUUGGUGACUGAUUUCAGGUAUGAAUCAUCACUUCUACUUUGUCUGUCUUUUCAUUUUGUUUUAGUUUCAGAUCUAUUCUUUAUUACUUAUAUUUCAGUGGGUUUUAUGAUUUUUUGUUUUCUUCUUUAUGAAUCCUUUUUCUUUGCCUGCUCAUCUCUAUUUUUUUGUUGAAGAUAUAUUUAUUCAUCACUCGAAGCAAAGCAAAAGGGAAAGUAGGAGGUUUUUGAGGAGAGUGAAAAAUGGUUGGUUCUACUUCAUCGGAGAUUGAUAUCAGGUAUGAAUAUAUACUUAAACUUUGUAUCUCUGUUUUUAGUUUUAGAUAUAUGCUUCUUUUUACUAAUAUUCUCAUUGGGUAUUUGUCAGGUUUUUGGUUUUCAGAUUCAAAGAAUCACUGUUUCGUUCAGUUGAAAUUAUGGAUCUGUGCGGUAUUUUUUGUUUGUUUAUCAUGUUUUUGUUUUUGAAUUUUCUGUUUUUCAGCAGAAGAUUGUUGGGGCUGGGGUUGUUGGGCUUAGCUUGAAUUCAGUACAGAUUUUUUUAAGUGUGCUGUUGCAUUUGAUUUUCGUUCUUAUUCCUAUUCCGCUGCAGUAUAAGCUAUUCUGUGGAUAUCCCCUUUAUAUUCCGUCCCGCGUCAGGAUUUUUGCAGUCCGGUUCAGUUGUUUUAGUGUACGGUUCAGUUUUUUUUAUGUUUGGACCGGACGACUUGUCGAUCUUAUUCUAAGGAGGGAUAUCCUAUUCUUGGGUUAUGCCGGUCUGGGAUAUCCCAUUCCAAGGGUAUCCGGUUCGGGGAUAUCCCAUUCCCAGUAUAUCCCGCGGAUGGUUAAGUUUUUUUUUUUAAAAGAAAAGUAAUAGGCUGUUAUUAAAAUGCAAAACUACAUUAAACCAACCGGACUAAAAUAAAGACCCAAAAACGAUACAGGCCCAAAGUAAAAAAAAGGUCUGGAAAAACUGAAACAAAAAAGAGACGAAAAGAAUCAAAAUAAAAAAGAUAUGUAUCCAAAAAGUGACAGACACAUGAAAAAAUAAUGAAUGAAGAGAGAAAAUGACACUUUCUUUUAUUGGUUUUUUUCAUAAAGAUUACAAAUGAAAACAUUUUCAGGUACACUUUCUUUUAUUGGUUUUUUCAUAAAGAUUACAAAUGAAAACAUUUUAAUAAAUUAUAAAUAUUUUGAAUUUUAAAAUAAUUGUAAUUUAUUUAAAAAGAAAAUUUAACACUGAUUUAAAAUUUAAAAUAGAUACAUUAAAUAACUUCCAACGUCUCUCUAAAUUCUUGAUGAGAGACGCUUCUUUCUCCUCUAAAUUGUGUCUCCUCUGUCUCCUUUUAUUCUGACUUUUACCUUUUUUAUUAUUAUUUUUUUAUUUUCUCGUCCUCCCUUUCUUUACUACGCAGAUUCUAUUGGGGUCUCUUUCCAUUUUUUUUGUCCUGACCUUUCUUUUUUAACUUUUGUGUAAACGCAUGCCGAAAUCCCCUUCUUCAUCGGAUUGUGAUUUUAGGUAUGAUUUUCACUUCUAGUAACUUUCCUUUUUCAUGUCUUUUUAAGUUUCAGACCUAUGCGUAUCUUUUAUUUCUGCGGGUAUUGUGGUUUUUAUCUCUGUUUUAGUUUUCAGAUUUAUACUUUUUUUUUUAGUGUUUUUGUUAUAAGUUUCGGUGUUCAGCCUUAUGAAACACAUGUUAUAUUUGUCUUUUUAAAUCUUUCGAUGUCGUCAUUUUUUUGAUAAUUUAUUGUCUGUUAUGUGUUUUAUUUUUUUUUUCCGAUUGUUUGUUUCUCUUUGUAUUGAAGGACAUUUUCUUGCAAAUCUUUGAAUAACCGAAUCCUAUUUAUGAGAUUUUAUAGCGAAGAUAUGUUUCUAAUACGUAUCUACCAUAAAACCCGAAAUGAUUAACAAAAAAUAAAUGGAAUCAUUUUCAUGUUACUUUUUCUUUUUUUGUCUCCUUAUUUUCUGUUUUUGAACAAGUAAAAACAUUAUAUUUCAAUAGUUUUCCUUUCUUUAUAGAAAUUUGAACUACCAAUCAAGAAGUUUGGAGCUUAAUAUGAUUUUGUUUAAUAUGCUAUUCUAAUAUGCGCAAGAACACGAAAUUUUGUCUAGAAAUUUUGUUAAACAUGUCUAUUUAUUUCUUAAGAAGGUGCAAGGAAGUUUCCUCCAAUAACAACAAAUUAGUACCAGAAAAUAUUAUGACUGAUAGGUAGAAUUUGUAUGGUCAAGGGCAGAAGGUGCAUUCUAGGAGCUAAAAUUCUUUUAUUUCCUGAGGUGGGAGGGGCAAAAAAUUUAAAAAAACAGCUUGCCUAAGUGCAGUAAGCCAUAAGAUAUCUGUGUCUAUCUAUUUAUAUACCAAGGUUAAUAUAUAUAGAUAUGAUAAUAAACUCUAUAUUGUGAUCCAGCUUAUCUAUAAAACGUUCAAAAUUUUUUAUUAUUAAUAGACUAAUCUGCAUGAUUUCGUUAUGAUCCCAUGUCUUUCUUGCCUGUUGUUGGAUAUUCAAAUAUUAUGCACAUUAAUUAAAAGGAAAAAGAAAAUAAAACUUGAAGUAGUUGGGUUUUUGUUUUGCACUUAUCGCCUUACAGAAAAGUGUAUCUAGAUGCACCACGUGUGCAUGUGUGAUCAAAUGUACCUUUCCCUAAAGGCUCUAGGGUGCUUUUAUCAUUUGGCGCCGAGGUUCAAUUGCUAGGCAUAAACCUUGACAUUGAAGUUUGCAAUAUCUUGGGUGAUGCUCAAUACAAUGUUCCAAAUUGUAUUGAAUUUGAAGUUGCCACUAUGUUCAUUUAUUUCUGCAUGCUUGUUAUUAAGUUGAUCUUGCAUGGUUUUUUUAUUAUAGUACAAAAUGUUUAAUCACUGAAUGCAAUUUGGAUUGAAGUAGACUUGAAAGUUGUUAAUAGCAAGAUUGAUUAACUUUUCUACAUGAGAAGAUUCCCCUUAGCUCGAUUGCUAGCAUUACGGGACUUUAAGUCUUUAAUAAUGAUAAAUUUAAAUUUAAAUAUGAAAAUUCUUGUUAGAAAAGGGUCAACGUUUUCGGUUUUCAGAUUAAAAGAAUCAGGCCACGUUUGGUUGGUUCCCUCUUUAUUCUUGGAUGAAUAUCAAUGCUUUUGUUUGGUUUACCAUUUCUUCAUUUGGCCGAAUUAGUUAAAGCGGUUCUAUUCCCUCAAAUGCGUAAUAGGGAUUCAGUGCUGAAAGCUUUGAAUGGCCAUUAUGACCAUGGCCGAAUAGAAAUGAAGAAAAUUCUUCCCAAAAUCUCCUUCACACUUUCUCUGCAAAUGCGUUCAGAGUUGCUUCUUUUAUCACAGCAAUACACUUUCAGGUUAGCAGGUUUUUCUUUUCAAGUUUAAUUUCGUUUGGUUUCUGUUCUUGCAAUAAUUAAAUUUUGUUUUAGAAGGGUUUUUGGUGUGGGUUUUCUUUAAAUUUUUCUAAAAAUAUAAGCUACAACUCAACUCCCAAUUCUCUGUCUCUUGGGGGAGAUAAUGUUUCGUUCUCUUAUGGGAAACCUAUGGACUAGAAUUGAAUUGCUUGGAGUAAAUCGUAAUCACCAUAUUGAUCUCUUCCUCUUAAUCCUUGUUUUAUUAUUUCGAUUUUGCUGCUGGAGAGGACAAAAAUAAACUAAUUAAUGGAGGAGAUAAGUCAAAAUUUGAUGAAUUUAUAUUGUUUGUAAUACUCACGCAUAUCUCUUUUGCAAUAUUUGUCAUUCUUUAAAUCAGAGUUUUAUUCCCAAAUUUCUUACUGAUAAUCACUUAGUCUUCAUUAUUGUAUUUUACGGUAAUUCAGAUUUGUUUCAGGUUUGGAGAUAUGGUGCAACAGAUGAAAAUUUGUUAAGAAAUAUACCUUAUAGUGCUUUGGAGCAGACAAGUUGAUGUCCAGACACUAGAGGGUCAAAUGGAAACAGAAGUUAUGGUAGCGGGCAGUAUAGACUGCUCCUUCAGGUAUAAAUGGAGUUGGAAAUAGAUAUAGAUGUAUCUGCAUCCUCUUCCAAGUACAAGAUGUCUCCUAUUCCCUAUUAUUGUAGUAUAAAUUCUACUAGUUUAGGUGGAUCUACAUUUUAUUAACAUGGAGCAUUACUUGUUGGCAUUUCUUUGCGUUUAUCACAUUUAUUGGUGUCAAAAUACAAUAUGCUGAAGUGUGUCAUCUGUUACUCUGUUCGGAGUAAUAACCUCUAAUUUGAAAUGGUUGUGUCAGUUCUUCCAGUGCUCAUGUUUCAGGGUUGGGUGACCUAAACAUGGCAUACUUCUUACAACUUGCUGUCAAGUGCGAUAAAAAUUAGGUCUCCUUUCAUAUUUUGUUGCGACAUUGGAACCUCUACAUGUCUUGCUCAUCUUUUCGUUCUGCCAAUGAUCUGGUAUUCUUUUUGGCGUUACCAUCUAACAUUACAUAUCCCUUCCUAUUGUUGUAUUGGAGCUAUUACUUGUUGUGAUGCAUGGUGCAUUCUCCUCCCACUGCAACAUACAUGCAGAUGCACUUGUUCUUUCUCACUUCCAUUUUUCCGUUCACUGUCUGUUACAUUGUAUUUCAAAGCGUUUGUCUUGUUGAUUUGUUAUUUUCUACUGGUUGGUACUGUGACAUAUGUUUAGCUUCUUUCGAUGGCAUUGCAAAGGAACUUAUACUGUUUCGAUGGCACAUAUAUAUUAUUAAUUAUUGGAUAGGUGGAGUAUUCACUGUGUUUAUUGAUUGUACUAUCAACAGUAUUAAUCNNNNNNNNNNNNNNNNNNNNNNNNNNNNNNNNNNNNNNNNNNNNNNNNNNNNNNNNNNNNNNNNNNNNNNNNNNNNNNNNNNNNNNNNNNNNNNNNNNNNUGACAGCAUCAUGAUGUCCUGUUCCUAAGAAGAUUGGCAUCAUCCUAAUCGGUAAACUUUCCUUUUCAGUUUAACACGGAGGGGCAUCUUCUAAGGCUUCCUCUUCCAGAAUGUUGGGUGGUAAGAAAAAAAUACUGUGCUUGUUUCGCCACCAUCUAUUUAUUUGUAUUGUUGAGCCAAGUUACCUCCAUUCAUACAUACCCUGAUUAUUCUUUUUCUGAAUGCUACAGAGAAGUUAAUUGAGUACUGUUGUUCAUUUUUCAGGUCUCAUAACUGCAUAUGCUUAUUGAUGCUGUCACUGAGAGUUAUAACAAAUAUUUCUUUGGGGACGUUGGGAGAGAAAUAUAUGAUUUCUUUUGGGGUGAUUUUGCUGACCGGUAUGUAGAAUGUUCUUUUAUAAUCUGCUUUCUGCUAAUAGAACGUAGUUCUAUUGUUUUAUGCCAUUAAGGUCUGGAUUUUAUGCCAUUUGAAGAUCAUGAAAACUGAAAAGUAAUGAAGUUUAUGCUGUUAUAUAGCACAUAAUGCCCUUUUCUUCUAAGGUUAAAGUUGUAAAAUUCAUUUGGUGGAUAGUGUGUGUUAUUUUAUUGUUAUCAUUACUAGAAUUCUAUUGUAAGUUGGAUCAGUAUGUGCUGUUGACACAUACAUGAAAUACCUGUCAUGGUUGUAUGUUUUUUGCAAAAAAUAUUGGUAUAAUUUUUACUUUGAUUAGCUGUAGUUAUUUUUAUGUUAUAUGUACAGUCUUUAGAUCUGCAACCCAUGCUUGGGAUUUAUGUUUUUGUUGUUUGCAUAGGUAUAUUGAAGAAAGUAUUAAUUAUUUAUCUUUACUCCCCCCCCCCCAAAAAAAAAAAGUAAUUUAAAGAAGGUAUUAAUUACCAUAAAUGUUACCGUUGUCACAUGGGGCAUUUAGAAAAUCUAUUCUUUUUGGGCAGUAUGAGCAGGAGAAAAGCUGCCCGUUUUCUUUAGGCUUUUCAAAUUCCCUUCCUUCUCCAUCAUUGGAAAUUUAAGUUCUCUUUAAAUUUAUUUUCCCUUUUUAUUUCCCCUUUUAUUCUCUGUUGUUUUUCCAUUCUUUGAUCUCUGUUCAUCCUCUCAUUCGUUUUCUUUAUCGUCUCUCCCUUCCUUCCUUCCCAUUAUUCGAAAUUUGAAUCCUCAAAUCUAUCUCUUCUAUCCAUAGCACCUCAAUUAUUCGCCGACUCCCUCUCUCUCUCUCUGUCUGUUUUGAAUUUCUUCCUCUCAUUUUUUUAGUUUUGUGUCACCGAUUGCCAAAAAAAACACGGAAAUACGCUACACUAGGAUUUCUUUGCCGUUUCUUGUUUUUGUGAUUUUUUUGAAUUUUCUGCUUCAUCGGUGACUGAUUUCAGGUAUGAAUCAUCACUUCUACUUUGUCUAUCUUUGCUAUUUCAUUUUGUUUUAGUUUCAGAUCUAUUCUUUAUUACUUGUAUUUUCAGUGGGUUUUUUUAUGAAUUUUUUGUUUUCUUCUUUCGAAAUCCUUUGUCUUUGCCUGUUCAUCUCUGUUUUUUUGUUUCAGAUAUAAUUAUUUAUCACUCGAAGCAAAGCAAAAGGGAAAGUAGGUGGGUUUUGAGGAUAGUUAAAAAUGGUUGGUCCUGGUUCAUCGGUGAUUGAUUUUAGGUAUGAAUCUGUACUUAAAAUUUGUCUUUUUCUUUCAUCUCUGUUUUUAGUUUCAGAUAUAUGCUUCUUUUUACUAAUAUUCUCAUUGGGUAUUUGUCAGGGUUUUCGGUUUUCAGAUUCAAAGAAUCACUGUUUUGUUCCGUUGAAAUUAUGUAUCUGUGCGGUAUUUUUGUUUUUUUAUCUUGUACUAUAUGUUUAUUGUUUUUGAAUUGUCUAUUUCUCUCUGCUCGUAUUGUAUCUAUCUUGCUUUAUUGUUAUUAUUUUUUUGCGAAGUUCUCUUACGUUUCUAUUUUUUCCGUCUACUUACGAUUGUAGCUAUAGUAAUAUCUUUGAUUUCCUUUUGUUUUUUGCUUCGCAAAAUAUACUGUUUCGGUUUUUCUUUACGGGCUCCUGUGUUGGCGUUUUGUCCUGUGCCCUGCUUAGUUUAUGGCUUGUGUUUUGCCUAGAUUUUGGGCUUUUAUCCCUCUUGUAGGUUCUAUGGAAUGAUUGAAGGCAGUAUGAUCCUAUUUGCAAAUGCACUGUAAGUUGCGUCGAUUGUGAAAGUCUCUAAGUCUCUGUGUUCUCCUUUUUGCAUGCUGUUUUGUGAUCCAUUUUUUUUGCUUGGGCAACGGAUUUGGUUUUGUUUUUAUUUUUAAUUUUUAGUGUGUUGGGUUGGCUUGUAUGGGAAUGGGUUUGCGAUAUUUUUUUAUCUGGGUAAGAUGUCCGAGCCUGAAUCGUAAACAUAAAUCACAGUUCCUUUCAUUUUAUAAAUAGAAUACCGAACUCAUUUGAAUAUCGGAAAUCUUAUUUUCUGGAGUGCAAUGCCUUGACUAUUAAAUUAAUUUGAAUAUAGAGAAUUUCUAAAACUCAAUUUUGAUACCAAACCUGUUAGCUUGGUUAUGUAAGUUCUUCGAUUUCCCUUUUAUUCUCUUUUUUACUUCUCUCUGUUAAUUUCCCCAAAACAUUAGUUGUGAUUUAAAGAAGGUAUUAAUUACCAUUAAUGUUACCGUUGCAUUAUUCGUAAUCUGAACCUGCUUUUAUAUUAUUUGGACAUCAUGCUUUCGAUUUUUCUGUUUAGUUGUGAAGAAUUUUUUUAUCCGGUACAGAUUUUAACCUGAAUAACUUCUUCAGUAGUGCUUUUUUUUGUCUGGAUAAUAGUUAGAUAGAAGUAUACGNNNNNNNNNNNNNNNNNNNNNNNNNNNNNNNNNNNNNNNNNNNNNNNNNNNNNNNNNNNNNNNNNNNNNNNNNNNNNNNNNNNNNNNNNNNNNNNNNNNNNNNNNNNNNNNNNNNNNNNNNNNNNNNNNNNNNNNNNNNNNNNNNNNNNNNNNNNNNNNNNNNNNNNNNNNNNNNNNNNNNNNNNNNNNNNNNNNNNNNNNNNNNNNNNNNNNNNNNNNNNNNNNNNNNNNNNNNNNNNNNNNNNNNNNNNNNNNNNNNNNNNNNNNNNNNNNNNNNNNNNNNNNNNNNNNNNNNNNNNNNNNNNNNNNNNNNNNNNNNNNNNNNNNNNNNNNNNNNNNNNNNNNNNNNNNNNNNNNNNNNNNNNNNNNNNNNNNNNNNNNNNNNNNNNNNNNNNNNNNNNNNNNNNNNNNNNNNNNNNNNNNNNNNNNNNNNNNNNNNNNNNNNNNNNNNNNNNNNNNNNACUUGUAUUUUUGGGUUUAUGGUUUUGAUGUUUAGAAAUUGCUGUUUUGCUAUAUGUUAUUAUUGAUGUGGCCUGUGACUUUGUUAUUUUUUGCUGUUUAUUUUAUUAUCUUAUUUUCUAAAUAAGAGUACCUAAAUUUAAAAAAAAAAAGUCUUAAAAAAAUGACAGAUUCAUCAAUAAAUGAUAUAUGAAAAGAAAACAUUUCUUUUAAUUAUUCUUUUGCAGCAAUUUACAUAUUGCAUAUAUAAUUAUUUCAAUAGUUUUCCGUUCUUAAUAGAAAUGCCAAGUAUUAUUUUGACAUGUGAACACAUUAUAUUUUUUGGGGGANNNNNN